Molecule: long non-coding RNA, 72691 nt
Filed under: Coffea arabica (coffee)
Lineage: Eukaryota; Viridiplantae; Streptophyta; Magnoliopsida; Gentianales; Rubiaceae
Description: long non-coding RNA (CARA_LNC005834)
Source: RNAcentral
GAUGGUGCAAGAAGUUGGAGUUCUACAUGUAGUCAUUCCAUUACUGCUCACUAGUCAAAGUAACCAUGAGAAGAAUUAUAGGUUUGUAGUAAUUCUCUACCAUAGACUAUGGACUAAUUGUAUCCUCCUUCUAUGUUAAAAGAAUUGAUUGCAUAUGAAUAAAUUGGAUGCAAGACAUAAUUAUUUUUCUCUCAACAUUUACUCAUAAAGCUUUCAAAGCUUCAAAUCUCUGAUAGACAAGAUGUUGAUUGUAUCUGUCAAUAUACAGCAUUUCAUGUUACUUCUGAACAAACUGAACAACUUUUGUGAAUUUACAGAAGUGAUACGUAUUUAUGAACUAUAUCUCACCUGGGCAGCAACGGCCUUGAAUACUUGAAUGCCAAUGCUAAUUCAUAAACUGAGAGAUCAAAAGUAUUCCACGAUGAAGUUGGGCAAUCAUAACUUAGGAAAUCACCCUAUUGUCUAUGCAAGCGAUGAACCACGAAAAGUCAUACCAUCACCUUCAAUUCAGAAGCCGGGCUAGGAUAUCUGGUAGAUAAUUGGUAUUCAGGUCAACAUUUUACCUCUUCAGUGUUGCCUAGCAUGCUUACGUCUCAAAUAAUCGCAACUCAAUAUUAACACAAACACGUUCUGAUUUUUUGCAUAUGCUGAGUGAAAUUUUUGGUUUAAAAAAGAAUCAUCAAAUGUUUUCCCUUUGCCUCAAAUAUGUAAUUUCCUGAACUCAAUCUUCUCUAGCAGGGAGUUUUGUAUUGGUUUAAUCCUUCUAUUCAUGAAUUUGGUCUGCGAAUAACCAAUAUUGAUAAUUUCUUCCACAAAGAAUAUAUAUUCCUCUUCCUGUUCUAUUGUCUGCAUGACAACUUCAAUUGAGCACCCAUCUCACUCAACAUAGAGUAAACCAUGCUUCUCUUGUGGGCUGAUCUAGUUUUCUGAGACAUAUCUGAUUGUAAAUCCAUCAAGUGCACAAGGCUAGACCCAGCUUCCUUUUCUGUGCCCUUUUCUUUCAUCAACUUUCUUACAUUCUCCACAUCAUCCCAUCUCCCUUCUGUGGCAUAUAUGUUGGACAAUAACACGUAUGGCCCAAUAUCCCCUGGUUCCAUAUCAAUUAAUCGCUUUGCAACAAUCUGUCCAAGUUCUAGUCUGGAGUAGGUCCUGCAUGCCGAAAGUACAGACCCCCAUAGAGCUGUUCCCGCUUCCACGGGAAUUGUCUUAACAAGUUCUUCACUAUCAUGCACCAAGCCAGCCCGGCCAAGGAGAUCAACCAUGCAACCAUAGUGCUCAAUUUUGGGCUCUAUAUUGUAAACUCUAUGCAUUAAAUCAAAGUACCACCAGCCCUCUAACACCAUCCCAGCAUGAUUACAUGCACUUAGGAUGCAUGUAAAAGUGGCAUCAUUUGGCAUCAGUCCACACUUUUCCAUCUCCAUGAACAUUUCAAGAGCUUUUUCUCCAUGCCCUUGCAUCCCAUAUCCCAUAAUCAUAGAAUUCCAUGAUACAACACUUCUAUCUGGCAUCUCAUCAAAGAUCAACUUAGCCAAAUCCAUAGCCCCACAUUUUGCAAACAUUGUCAAGAGAGUUGUCAUAAGCAACACAUCUGGCUUGAUUUGUUCACUACCUUUUAUAUAAGAAUGAAUCCAUUGACCUCGAUCAAGCCUUCCCAGAUGUCCACAAGAGAUCAGAACACUUACAAGUAUAGCCUCAUUUGGCUGAACAUCUCCUUCCACCAUCAUCUCAUCAAACAAUCUCAAACACUCAGAAUAGUCCUUCAACCUCACGUAAAGAGCCAACAUAGUAGUCCAAGAAACCAUAUUCCGGCAAUCCAUUUGAUCAAAUAACAUCCUCGCUCCAUCUUUAUUUCCAGUCCUGGCAUAGCCAUCAAUCAUACAAUUCCAAGAAACAACAUCACGAGAAGGCAUCUCCUCAAACAACUCCUUUGCCGCCACCAUAUCCCCAACCCCUACAUACCCUGUAAUCAUUGAAUUCCAACUAAAAACAUCCCUUUCGUGCAUCCCAUCGAAAAUCUGCCUUGCAAAACCCAGUUCUCCAUUCUUCACAUACCCAUCAAUCAUAGUGUUCCACGUUACCAAAUCUGAGUCAGAACAUAAAUCAAAUACCUUCCUUGCAUCCCAAAUUUUAAAACAAACAGAAUACAUAUGAAUCAGAGCAUUCCUAACAAAUAAAUCCAACUCAAACCCACAUUUCACAACACGACAAUGAAUCUUUAUCCCUUCAUCUAACAAACCCACAUCAGCACAAGCUUUAACUAAUAUAGGAAAAGUAUAAUUAUUCUGAGAGAUGCAAUUUUUAACCAUUCCAUUAUAGUAAAAGGCCAAUGCCUUUUUUGGGUCAUUGAAUCUCACAUAUCCUCUAAUUAUAGUAUUACAUGAAAAAGCAUCAGGGUUUUCAAGAUUAUCAAAUAUUUUAAUGGCAAAAGGAAGUGUCGAUUGAGAAGAACAGAGUUUUUUAAUUGCUCUGCCGGAAGCAAGUGGGUGUUGAAUGAGGCCCGAGACAACGAGUUGGGUAUAAAUUUGGUUGAAAUGGUAGAGAUUAGGACUGAUAGAGUCUAAAAUGCGCAGGAUGGGGUGGCUAAGAUCUAAAAUCUGCACCCCAUCAUGGUCUAGAUGGCUGGGGACUCGUUUAUCGGCAUCAGACCAGAGUUUUGGAGUUGGCCUGGCAAGGUUUCUCUGGGUUUUGAUGAACUUUUCAAGGGUUCUUGAGGAAAGGUCGAUUGAAUUUCUGGCGGCUCUGAGCCUAACGGUCAUCUUUUUCCCUCCAAGAUUUGGCGGCAAGAUCAGAUAGGGAUCGUAUAGUUUGGUGUUUUACAGUUAAAUUUCUGUAUAAUGAUGCUUACUUCAUCACUUUACACCCCGUACUCUUGUCAAAAUAAUUUUAGAAAAGUCGUUCAGAAAAAGAAAAAAAACUUUGGUUUGAACUCUUAUAGAUGCUUUUAGCUUGGCCAGAUUAUUAUAGGUCAUGAAUUGAAAUGAUAUUUCAUCAAUUAGAUGUUUUGAGGUGUUUUUAUAAAACUUUUAUUGAAACUUCUUUUUUGAUUAAUGUAGUACAAAAAAUGUUAAUUGAGAAAUACGUUUAAAGUUCUUCAGAAAUAUGCUUACGAAGAAUAGUGGAAUACAAAUUAAGCCACUGCAGCAUUUUUUUUCCAUUAUGUGAAUUUCUUAUACUAUAAUUAUCUUAUUGAGGUAGAACCAAACAUGGAAAAAUAUACUAUACAAACAUUUUGUUGAAACUUCAUUUGAUUUCUUGAUAAAACUUUCUUGAAGGUACUUUUAUCAAGCAUGUUUAACCUGUUGUCAACUUAAUAAGGUAAAAUUUUCAUAUUCGUACUGGCUAAUCAAUUUCUAUCACUCAAGUUUGUGAAGACAAAAAAUCAAAUCUUACAAAGCAAUGUGCUAAAUCACUUCCAAAAAAAAAGUCACUGUAGGCAGACUUGAAUUGGACUACUUUGGAGCUUAAAAAGUGCACAAAUAACUUGGGUGGAAGUAGAGGUGGCAAAUCAACCCAUUUAACUAAAUUUCUCCAUAUCCGCUCAUGAAUAGAUGGGUAUAGGUAUUUUAAAUUUUUGUAUAUGAGUAUAAAUGGAUUAUGUAGACACCAAAUUUUUGGUGUAAUUUCAUUUACUGUUUAUUUUUAGUUUUUUUUAUUAGUCGUGUUAGUUUAUUCGGUUUUUAGCUUUUAGUUUAUAGUUUUAUUUUUUAUUUUUAAGUUUAGCAUAGAAUUUCUUGAAAAAAAAAAGAGAGGGAAAAGGAAAAAGAAAAAAUGGAAAAAGAAAAAAAUGAAAAAAUGGAAAAAUGAAAAAAAAGGGGGAAAAAGAAAAUGGUUCACAAAAAUACGUUUAUUUCUCUUAAAUUCAAUCUUUUGGCAUUUUGUUUAUUUUUGUUAAUUUAUUUUGAAAAAAUGAAAAAAAGAAAAAUUAAAAAUGGCCAUUUUUGUUUAGUUUUUUGUUUAAAAUUAUUUUUGUUUUGUUAUUAUUAUUAUUACCUGGUUUGUGUAAUUUUGUUAUUAUUAUUAUUUAUAUUUUAUUUUAUCAUUUCUGUAAUUAUCAAGUUGUUUUAAAAAAAAAUUAAUUAAAAUUAAAAAAAAAUUACCGCAGCAUGCACGCUGCAAUUUUUUGCAGCGUGCAAGGUACAACUUCAAUAGCCAUCGGAUGGCUGGAUGGAAGAGGGAGGAUAAGCUCUUCAUCCUCACCAUCCGAGAGAGGGUUUACGGAUUGGAGCUCAUAUAAAAGGAACAAGAAUCAGCAGCCGCAAGGAGGAGGAAGGAUAGAGAGCACGGCUGAAAGGAAAAUUCUGAAGAAAAACAGAAAUCAGAGAGAAUAGGCAUCAAGUGACGGCUGCAAAACCAAAAGGAAAACAGCAAGGAAGAAAAAAGGGAGUGAACGGCAAAAAGAAAGAAACAAGAGAAAGGCUUGCGAGGAAAAUGGGACAGGGAUAAUUGGCGGCAUAGGUUCUGGGCAGAAGAAAGGGCUGGGUUCAGAAAAGAAAGAGUGAAAGAGAGAGACCAAAGAGGGGAGGUCAAGAGUAGGAACGAAGCAGCACCAGAGGAGGAGGAAAACAAGAAACCGAGGGAAGUCUUGUCAGCGGGAAACCAAGGAGAAAGCCGGCAAAGGAAGGUACCGGAGCUGAGGUAAGAGACUGAAGUUUUCAUUUUUUUUCCAUCAUUCACCCGAAUCCAGAUUCAAAAACCUCAGGUCUUUUCUUUAAAAACCGGUUUCUUAGCUUCUCCGUUUUCCCUUCGUGACUGAGUUGGGUCUCGCGUUUUGUUUCCUGUUUUGUUAUUUGUGUCGCUAUUGAUGUUUCAACCGUUACUGAGUUAGGGGUUUGCUGUUAUCUCUAUGGCUUUAAUCUUGUCUAUGGAGUGUGUAUGACCAGGUUUUGAUAGGAAGUGAGUUUGAACUAUUGGGUUUUCAUGGGUUUUGCUGAUCUUCUGGGUUGAUUAUAUCGGAUAAAAUUGUAGAAAGUAGCCAAAGUUUGCAUUUUUCUGUUUUUCAGAUUUUCUGGGGGAAGGCAGGCAGUGGCUAAAACUAUGAUUUUAUUGUUUGACGCAAAGUAAUUUGGGUUGAAGAUUUGGGUCAUUUGGGUGAGGUAUCUACAAGUUUCAUCGAGGCAAAUAAACGUUUAUAAACAUGCUGGAAUUGUAGAAAGGAAGUUGAGCAAGUCUGUUCUAAUGUUGCGUUGGUCGCUGCUCUUCUUGUUCUUGUUGUUUGUUUGGGUGUCGGGUUAUGGUUUGGCAUAUAUUUGUGCAUACAAGUCUGCUGCAACAAGCUUGAAGUUGGCUUGUUGAAGCAGCGUGGAAUUUUUUCUUUUGAUUGCCCAAAGCUCGAAGCUUUCUUCUCUUAGGUUGCUGAAAUUUGUUGUUCAACUCUUAGUAUUUAUUGCUACUCCUGGAUUGCUGUGUCCAUUAUAUGCUCAUGAGAAAUCUAAUGAAUGUUAGGCUGCAAGUUUUCUGUGGUCUCUGGAAUGAAAGCUCAAAUGGCCAAAAAUUUUCCAAAUUGCCGCAUGCUCUCUCUUGCGUUUUUUUUAGUGCAUAAAAAUGAGACUUUGUGUUUGAAAAUGGGAUGAAUGCUGGGUAAUGUUGUUGUUUGGAUCCAAAUUUUGUUGGUUUUGCCAUUAGGCAAGUUUGUAUGGCAUCCAAAAUUCACCAGAAAUUUGAACCCAACAUGCUAGAGUUUAGGUGAGGCGGCAAGAAAUGUUUUUCUGGUUGUUGUGAAUCUGUUGAGGGGAAUGGAUCUUGAAUAAACUAAACAAUUUUUGCCUCAACAUGGAAAACAAAUUUGGUUGUUUAGUGAUAAGAUAUAAACUAAACAAUUUGAAUCCACCAAAACAUCAAACUUUCCCUCAAUUGCAACUCAAUGAAGUCAAAACUACUUAAAAACCAAGGCAGAAGGCAUGAUCAUCCAAACCCCAAGCAUAACGUCUACUAAAGACCCAAAAGCAAGCACUACUCAACCAUUUGAACCUAAUUGAAACAUUUAAAAACACAAAAAGUUCCCCAAGUAAAUAACAAGAUCCAAACAAACAUUAUGGAAUUUUGAAGGUCAAAGAAUGAACAAGGGUCCACGAAUGAUUUAAACAUGCAUUUUGAAAACUCAAUAGCAACCAUUAAUCAACCAAAUAAAACCAAUUGAAAAAUUUAAGAGCUUCAAAAGUCCCAAAAACAAUGAAAGGCCAAAUGAUGACUCAAAAUACACCCACCUUAGGACCUAUCCCAUUUAAAUUUCUGUCCGGGUCUAUCCCGUUUGCAUUUUCUGUUCGGGUCUAUCCCAUGGGUCUAUCCCAUUUAAAUUUCUGUCUGGGUCUAUCCCAUUUUACAUUUUCUGUUCGGGUCUAUCCCGUGGGUCUAUCCCAUUUAAAUUUCUGUCUGGGUCUAUCCCAUUUUACAUUUUCUGUUCGGGUCUAUCCCGUGGGUCUAUCCCAUUUUUCAUUUUCUGUUCGAGUCUAUCCCAUUUACGUUUCUGUUUGGGUCUAUCCCAUUUUACAUUUUCUGUUCGGGUCAGUCCCGUUUUUAAUUUUAUGUUUGGGUCAGCCCCAUUUUUGGAAUCAUUUUUGCAGCCAAAUAAUGCAGGUAAGUAUUUGGUGUCUAUUUCUUUGUCUCAAGUUUUUUCAAAACUCAGACAAAGAGGGGCAAACUGUAGACACCAAAUUUUUGAUGUAAUUUCAUUUACUGUUUAUUUUUAGUUUUUUUUAUUAGUCGUGUUAGUUUAUUCGGUUUUUAGCUUUUAGUUUAUAGUUUUAUUUUUUAUUUUUAAGUUUAGCAUAGAAUUUCUUGAAAAAAAAAAGAGAGGGAAAAGGAAAAAGAAAAAAUGGAAAAAGAAAAAAAUGAAAAAAUGGAAAAAUGAAAAAAAAGGGGGAAAAAGAAAAUGGUUCACAAAAAUACGUUUAUUUCUCUUAAAUUCAAUCUUUUGGCAUUUUGUUUAUUUUUGUUAAUUUAUUUUGAAAAAAUGAAAAAAAGAAAAAUUAAAAAUGGCCAUUUUUGUUUAGUUUUUUGUUUAAAAUUAUUUUUGUUUUGUUAUUAUUAUUAUUACCUGGUUUGUGUAAUUUUGUUAUUAUUAUUAUUUAUAUUUUAUUUUAUCAUUUCUGUAAUUAUCAAGUUGUUUUAAAAAAAAAUUAAUUAAAAUUAAAAAAAAAUUACCGCAGCAUGCACGCUGCAAUUUUUUGCAGCGUGCAAGGUACAACUUCAAUAGCCAUCGGAUGGCUGGAUGGAAGAGGGAGGAUAAGCUCUUCAUCCUCACCAUCCGAGAGAGGGUUUACGGAUUGGAGCUCAUAUAAAAGGAACAAGAAUCAGCAGCCGCAAGGAGGAGGAAGGAUAGAGAGCACGGCUGAAAGGAAAAUUCUGAAGAAAAACAGAAAUCAGAGAGAAUAGGCAUCAAGUGACGGCUGCAAAACCAAAAGGAAAACAGCAAGGAAGAAAAAAGGGAGUGAACGGCAAAAAGAAAGAAACAAGAGAAAGGCUUGCGAGGAAAAUGGGACAGGGAUAAUUGGCGGCAUAGGUUCUGGGCAGAAGAAAGGGCUGGGUUCAGAAAAGAAAGAGUGAAAGAGAGAGACCAAAGAGGGGAGGUCAAGAGUAGGAACGAAGCAGCACCAGAGGAGGAGGAAAACAAGAAACCGAGGGAAGUCUUGUCAGCGGGAAACCAAGGAGAAAGCCGGCAAAGGAAGGUACCGGAGCUGAGGUAAGAGACUGAAGUUUUCAUUUUUUUUCCAUCAUUCACCCGAAUCCAGAUUCAAAAACCUCAGGUCUUUUCUUUAAAAACCGGUUUCUUAGCUUCUCCGUUUUCCCUUCGUGACUGAGUUGGGUCUCGCGUUUUGUUUCCUGUUUUGUUAUUUGUGUCGCUAUUGAUGUUUCAACCGUUACUGAGUUAGGGGUUUGCUGUUAUCUCUAUGGCUUUAAUCUUGUCUAUGGAGUGUGUAUGACCAGGUUUUGAUAGGAAGUGAGUUUGAACUAUUGGGUUUUCAUGGGUUUUGCUGAUCUUCUGGGUUGAUUAUAUCGGAUAAAAUUGUAGAAAGUAGCCAAAGUUUGCAUUUUUCUGUUUUUCAGAUUUUCUGGGGGAAGGCAGGCAGUGGCUAAAACUAUGAUUUUAUUGUUUGACGCAAAGUAAUUUGGGUUGAAGAUUUGGGUCAUUUGGGUGAGGUAUCUACAAGUUUCAUCGAGGCAAAUAAACGUUUAUAAACAUGCUGGAAUUGUAGAAAGGAAGUUGAGCAAGUCUGUUCUAAUGUUGCGUUGGUCGCUGCUCUUCUUGUUCUUGUUGUUUGUUUGGGUGUCGGGUUAUGGUUUGGCAUAUAUUUGUGCAUACAAGUCUGCUGCAACAAGCUUGAAGUUGGCUUGUUGAAGCAGCGUGGAAUUUUUUCUUUUGAUUGCCCAAAGCUCGAAGCUUUCUUCUCUUAGGUUGCUGAAAUUUGUUGUUCAACUCUUAGUAUUUAUUGCUACUCCUGGAUUGCUGUGUCCAUUAUAUGCUCAUGAGAAAUCUAAUGAAUGUUAGGCUGCAAGUUUUCUGUGGUCUCUGGAAUGAAAGCUCAAAUGGCCAAAAAUUUUCCAAAUUGCCGCAUGCUCUCUCUUGCGUUUUUUUAGUGCAUAAAAAUGAGACUUUGUGUUUGAAAAUGGGAUGAAUGCUGGGUAAUGUUGUUGUUUGGAUCCAAAUUUUGUUGGUUUGGCCAUUAGGCAAGUUUGUAUGGCAUCCAAAAUUCACCAGAAAUUUGAACCCAACAUGCUAGAGUUUAGGUGAGGCGGCAAGAAAUGUUUUUCUGGUUGUUGUGAAUCUGUUGAGGGGAAUGGAUCUUGAAUCCUUGAUUUUGCAUCAUUGUAUGGUUUGUGUUAAGUUGGGUCUUAUGGGAUUAAUUGAUAGGCUUGCACGUUUCCUUUCCUUUUAUGUCCACGGCUGUUUUCUUGCAUGAAUGAAGGCCGAGAAUUGCAGAAAGUUUUCCAUGUUUUGCAUCAUUUCUUUUUCUGUUUUUUUUUUUUUACUUGUUUGAAUGCCAAUUUGUGUGUUGUGUUGCUUAACUCAAAGUGUGGACAUUGGGUUGAGAAGGUUUGAUUGAAGUUUGUGCUAAAUUCGGAAGGUUGUGUUUAAAAGAUGAAAUUGCCGCAAGCUUGGAAGCAAAAGUCAGCAGAUUUCAUUCUUUUUAGUUGCAGAUUUUGAAGCUCUUUACGUAUGCAUGCAUGAAACAAAUUCUGAACUUUGCACUUAAACCCCUCAAAUUUCCCUUUGGCUCACUAUGGCCCAAGUAAUUUGAAUACUUAAUCAAUUUAAUCCCUCAAGCUUCUCCAUGUUCCAUAAAAGCCCAAGCAUGUUCUCAUUUCUUUACAAUUAGGUCCUAAGGUGGGUGUAUUUUGAGUCAUCAUUUGGCCUUUCAUUGUUUUUGGGACUUUUGAAGCUCUUAAAUUUUUCAAUUGGUUUUAUUUGGUUGAUUAAUGGUUGCUAUUGAGUUUUCAAAAUGCAUGUUUAAAUCAUUCGUGGACCCUUGUUCAUUCUUGGACCUUCAAAAUUCCAUAAUGUUUGUUUGGAUCUUGUUAUUUACUUGGGGAACUUUUUGUGUUUUUAAAUGUUUCAAUUAGGUUCAAAUGGUUGAGUAGUGCUUGCUUUUGGGUCUUUAAUAGACGUUAUGCUUGGGGUUUGGAUGAUCAUGCCUUCUGCCUUGGUCUUUAAGUAGUUUUGACUUCAUUGAGUUGCAAUUGAGGGAAAGUUUGAUGUUUUGGUGGAUUCAAAUUGUUUAGUUUAUAUCUUAUCACUAAAUUGGUGCAUUAAUCUUUUGUUUUUGGUGAUUUUAGCCUAAGUUAGUCUUUUCUUGGGUGACUCUAGCCAAGUUGAGUUUGUUUACUUCCUUAGUAUCACCAACGGGGAGGUAUAAUCUCUUUUACCCCUUUUGUUUCUCUCCUAUGUGGACUAAUGUGCUAAUUGAAAUCUGCAUGUGUACUUGCUUUCCUAGCCUCUCCUUAUUUCCUUUCAGUUAUUUCAUUUACUUUUGAUUUUUAUUAAUGGGGUAUGUGUACACCUCUUGGCUUGUAAUAGAUAGGGCGUAGCAAGUAAUUUGGUCCAUUUUCCCUUUCCCUUUUGUUUUAGUUAGCAAAUGUAAUGGUUGCAUGCCUAUGUGUUAUAUGUUAAAUGCUUUAUUAGGAUCUUGCAUCUAGUCGAGCAUGAUAAGUGCUACAUGAUUUAGGUAAUUUGCAUGUCUACUCGCUUUUUGUAGUAUAGAUGAAUAGAAUGGAUGAAUGUACGUCACCACACUAGUCCAACGCUAGUUGUGGCUUCUUUUAUCGUUUCCACUAGUCCAACGCUAGUCGGAAUUCAUAGGAUGGGCUAGUCCAAUGCUAGACCCUUAGGGAUUUCCCCUCGUUAGUACAUGUUUGCAUGUUCAUUACAUGUCAUGCAUUUUUUUAGUUUUAUCAUUUUGCAUGCUCCUCGAUUCCCCUUUCCCCUCACUUUAGGUCUUACAUCUCAUGCUAGUUAGGGUACAUUUGCCUGAAGAGUCCCCUUUUGAUAAGGGAAACGAGCGAGUGUGGCUACUCGAUAGCCUUAGCACGCUAGUUUUGCUUUCUAAUCAAAGGGAAAAUCGAAGUCGAAAAGUUAGGAGUCAUUCCCAUACCCGACCUGAUGCAUUCCUUUAGGUUCAUUCAUUCUCAUUUAUCACUUACUCAUUUUUUUUCAAUUCACAUUUCCUCAUCACUUUUCCUUUCCUUAGUGUUCAGUUUGAUUUCUACUUCACAAAAUUGCACUUAAUUACACCUAUAUGCACUUAUCAUUAUAUUUCAUACACUUGCACACAAACACUUGGAUUUUUUAUACAAUUUCACACAUGCACCUUUUCAUACACUUGCACACAAACACUUGGAUUUUUCAUACAAUUUCACACGUUCACCUUUUUAUACACUUGCACACUUGCACUUUAGCCAUCAUUUGCAUUAAUCGACCUCUAUAAGAUUUUCCUUUAUUGGCCGCCACAAUUCAUGUGGUUGGGACCAAAAACCUUACAAGAGACAUCUUAGUAUCUAGGGUUUUGCAUUUCAUGUAGCACAUCCAAAUGUAAUAAAUUCUUUGGUUAAAACAAGAAAAUCUUUGAUUAAAUCACGCAACUAGCCUUGGCUAGGUCAAAGGGGUGCCUUGGAUUGUAUUCUUGCCUUCCCCUUUGUCAAAUGUGACUCCCGAACCUUUUUUCUUGGUUUACGUAGACUAGGAGUCGUUUAAAAAGGGUUUCUCACUACUCUUUCCUAUUUUUCUUUAAAAAUACAUUUUUAGGUGACUUGGUACACCUUAACUCAUUACCAAGUGGCGACUCCGUAUUUAGUUUUAAAAACCCUUUUUAAACUAUAAUUUUGGGUCAAAUCGUCGCAUUCUCAAAACCCCCAUUUAGACCCAUUUUUCUUUUAAAUCACGAUUCAUUUUCCAAUCACAAAAUACAUUUAUUAAACCAUUCAUUUAUUUAUUCAAAAAAUGGGGCGCGACAGAUUACCCAAUAAUAUCCAUUUAUUAAAUGGGUAUUAUUGGGUAACCCAUCAAACCCAAUUAAUCCAUUUAGAAUUCUCUUUCCUCCAAGUCUCUUCUUUUCCCCCACCUUUUUUUUUUCUUCAAAUUUUUCAUUUUGUCAUGAUGUUAACUACUUUUGUCUCAUUAUUAUUAUUAUUAUUAUUAUUAUUAUUAUUUGUUGGUUUUAUCUUAUUAUUUUAUUUCUCUUAAUUUGUUAACUUGCUCAUUUUUUAGCAUUACCAAUUUAUGAUAAAUUUUAGCCUAUUUUCUUAUCUUUAUCAAAUAAAAUUUUUAAUUUAUAUAUGAAAAAAAUGUUAGGGGUUCAAAAUUUUUGGAUUAAGUUUUUAUAUUAAUUUUUAUAGUACUUAGUUCAAAUUUUUAUAUUCUUAUUAUUCAAUUAUUAAAUAAUAGGUAAUUUUGUGACAUAGAGUAUAAAUGAAAAAAAAUUGGUAAUUAAGUUUAUUGAAUAUUAUAAGUAAAUAUUUAAAACUAAUGAUGGGUACAAAGAGUGGUAUAAAUUGAUAACUUAGUUUGCAAAAAUGAAUUUAAAUGAGUUUGCAAAAAAUUAAAAUAAAUGGGUUAUAAAUGGGUAAUUGGGUUACCCAAUUCAUUUUUUAACUUAUCCAUUUAUACCCAUCUAAUUAAAUGGGUAUAAAUGAGUUGACUCACUUAUAUCCAUUAUCCAUUUUACUUAACCCAAAUCCGCCCAAGUCACCCAUUUUGACGCCUCUAGAUGCAAGGAUUGGUGGCCACCACCCAUGCAUCGCCUCCCACCAAUUUGUCACAGUUAAAUGUGGCCUUACUUAAAAAAUUCAGGCAGGUGCAUAGUAUACCAAUCUGGUCUGGUGAUGGUUCAGUUCCCUCCGAAUUAUUUUAAAACUUUUUCAGGCUCCCCCCUCUCCAUAAUAUAAAAUGCUAUCGUAUUGACAAAAAAAAAAAAAACUUGGGUGCAAUGGUUUUGUCAAGAAGAAUUAACCUUUCCAUAUGGGAUCCAAAAUGGCAAUGGAAAAUGCGAAAUUCACAAUGCAAAGUUUCUUGUGGCACUAAUUAUUCUUUUCGUCGAGUAAAAUUAAAAUGGUACAAAAGUUGAUUAGUAGUAUUUAAAAUUGUAUCAACCAUCCAAAAAGACAGAGCAUCGUAGUUUUAACGCAUAGAAUAACUUAUUCCAUUUCAGUAGCUUACUAAAUACUGCUACUCCAUUACUCUUAUUGUUACGUUUCUCCGUUCUUCUUUGUCUCUUGCUAACUUCCAGCAACUGCCACAACUGUACCAGGUACCUUUCUCUUCUCCCCAUUUAAAUCUAUUGCUUUUUCUGAUUUUAAUCACUAGAAUUUUCUAUGCGGCUUAGACUGUUUGACUGCAUGAAAUCAGUGCUUUAGUUUGGAAUGGUACGUUAUUGUUUCUUGUUCGCAAGGCAUAAGAAAGUGACAUCUAGUUUUGGCUGAUCAUCCUCCUACUGCUAUAUGAUUGUUUUUAGCUUUGAUUAGAGGGCGGUUUGGAUUUUGUUUGUUAAUUUUCGGUACCGGCAAUUGCAUAUUUGCUGAAAUAAAUAUGUUUCAGAAGGAUAUUAUCGCCUGAUUAUAAGGUAAUAUAUUUGGGUUAAAUUUUGUUUUUGACUUUGUAGGAGCUUACCUCAAUGGGAAAUUGUUGUGCUCUCCUAAAAUCUAUUAUGGGUUUUGCAACCGAGGUAGAUAUAUACUGCUUUUUGUUUGCCCAUGAUUUUGAAAUGAGCAAGCCUAGUGCAUGGUGAUUUAAAAAGUUGAUCUGUUCUAGACAUGAUUUUCUAGGUUAAAUUUAUAGGCAGUUUAAGGAGCCAGCUAAAGAAUUAUGUUCUUAAUUCUGGACAAUUACAUGUUUGAUUUGCUCCAUCUGAAUACAAUCUCCACACAACAUCUAGGUAAUGGGUGAUUGGAUUGAAAGGUAAGCACUACGGGACUUGUGCAGAGCUUUAACUUGAUGAAUUGCCUCAGUAGAUAUGUUUUUGCUUGCUAAUGUUUAGUUUAUAUAGCUAGAAUCAGCAGGGAUCAUAUUCAGUCUGAUCAAUGAAAGGAUUUCAUAAUACAGGAGGAGCAUGAUGGAAGGUUGCCAAAACAGAAGAAGGUCAAAGUUGUUUUUGUCUUGGGUGAGCAUUUGGGGUUGAUUCUCUGCUCCUGUUCCUAACCUGUAUGAGCAUUUAAACUGGCAUAUUCCACUUAGUUAUAUUUAAAUCCACAGGAAGUGUCUUCUGAUCCAAUUCUUCAGUCAAAAUAGACUACUUCUGUUCUGAUUAAUUAAACUCAUGAAUUGUACACAGCUUUUUCAACAAAUCUUGAAGGUGGAUCUCUACUUAUUGUCUUUCCUCCAUAUAACGGAGGACACAAGUCCAAGAAACUCGAGAAAGUUGAGCAAAAGACAUGUUGACACAGAUUCAAAUCAAACAGAUAAACUGCCAAAUAAUUUCAAAAUCAUCUUGGAAAAUUGUCUCAUCAAGUUUGCCUUUCUAGUUGUAUGGACCACAUGGAACCAAAUUUGCUGCUUGUGACUGGAAGAAACACCUGCAAGGCUAUUAUAUCUUUUAUUAGCAAGAGGAGUGAAUGAUAAAAGAAGCUAGCAAUCUGCACUGCACAAAAUUCAUUUAUUUCAGAGAAUGGCUUCAUAGUGCCUUUAGUUCUUUUGGCUUUGGUUGAGUCAACGAGUUUUAGUUGCUCCGUCCUUUUCUGAAACCCUCUGUUUGGCAGAAAAGAAAGUAUUUUUUAUCAUUCCUUGAUGUGGCUGUGUUUCAUUUUCAUGGCACCUGAAGUUGUUAAUUAAAGACCUGUUUUUGUUUUUAGAUAUUUGGUUGCCAAGUUCGGUAACCAUAUGCAUCCACCUAUGUGUCAGCAUCCGAGUUUCUUUUGCCUUUUCUCUUCAAUUUUCCUUUGCAAUAACCCUAACAACCUCACAUGAAUAUGGUUUUCCUUUUGAUCAAUAAUUUUAGUGUUUCUGACCUUGUAAUUGUCAAUCUGUGACCUUUCUCAAUAUACUUGUAUCACUUCUUUUAUUCUUUCUUACGGUGGGAUGGCUUUGGAUGAUGCAUCUAACAGGUGGUCCAGGAAGUGGAAAAGGGACUGUGUGUGCCAAAAUUGUUGAACAAUUUGGUUAUAGCCACCUUAGUUCGGGUGAGCUUCUCAGGAAAGAAAUCAAAGCUGGCUCAGAGCAUGGGUAUAUAGUCUUGCUUUUCCCUUGAUUUAUUGGUCUUACAAUUUUAUUUCUCAGAAUAUUGAGCACGAAGUAUCAGUUGAACAAUGUUUGAUUCCAUGGUAUUGACUAUACAACAUUGGCAUGAUAUUAUGUAGUUGAAAUGGAUCUGAUGUAGAAUUUUUGUUAGAUUAUGGUUAUGGUUGGAAUAGUUCUUACUCUCUGACUUCAUACUGUCAUCAUGUCCUAAUUGAUUCUGCAGCACCAUGAUCCAGAACAUGAUGAAUGAGGGAAAACUUGUUCCAUCUGAUAUAACGGUUAGGCUUAUUCAAAAAGCUAUGCAAGAAACUGACAAUGACAAAUUUCUUCUAGAUGGCUUCCCCAGAGAUGAAGAGAAUGUUAGAACGUUUGAGAAACUUGUAAGUAUAUUUUUCAACUGAAAGUUUGAGUUUUGAACACAAUACAUCCUCCUUCCAAUUUAAACUUGUAUUCACCUAAUCUCAGUGUACUGGGCUUCUGGCAAAACCACCACUUUGUCAAAGCCACACUUAAAAGAUUGACUUUGAAUUUGACUCUUCUUUUCUGUAGACAAAGAUUGAACCAGAUUUCAUACUGUUUCUUGAUUGUCCAGAAGAGGAGAUGACAAAGCGCCUUCUAUCCAGAAACCAGGUUAGGUUUGUGUAAGCCAAGUUGACAUGCUCAUGGUUUCUGUUUAGUGUUUUUACAAAAUGUAGGUUUCUUCCUUAUUGUGGACAAAGAAAGGAUCGCAUUUGACUUGCACUCAAAAUCUUAGGGAAGAGAAGAUGAUAACAUUGAAACAAUAAAGAAACGCUUUCGAGUUUUUCAAGAGUCCACUCUGCCUCUGGUUAAUUAUUAUGCUUCAAAGGGGAAGGUACGGAAGGUAAGCAAUCUUUCAUCUUCACGAGUUUAUGAACAAAUGACUAUUUUGGUUCCUGCAGCAGCAACAACCAAGUUCUCAAUUGGCAGGUGGAUGCUGCAAGGCCUGUUGAAGCUGUUUUUGAAUCAGUCAAAACCAUUUUCUCCUCAGCAAAUGAACAGGUAAAAACUAGAUAUGGAAUUUAUUGAAGUGAAUUGGUGAUUAAAUGACUAUGACAUUGGAAAUAUCUAAUCUUUACCUGUUACGAGGUUGAUUUGGCCUUUUCUUUCUUUUUCCCCUGAAAACAAAGUAAAGAGAACUCUGCAUUGGAUUGUACAACUGUAGUUUUACUUGCCUUGAAAAUUAUGAGUUGACUGAACUAGUCAUGCUCUUAAAAGUUUUUAAUGCCACAUCUUCUCUGUUAUCCAACUCAGCUGAUGCAGACCAUGUUGUGCCUUGCAGGGUGCCUGAAGCUCAAGGAAUAAUAGCUUUUACUGGUUUGAUACUACAUGCACUCAGGUAGUAGUCUCUGAUUUACAUUAGACGUUCUCUCAGAUGGAACAUUCAUCCCUUCCUCUCCCAAAAUAAGUACAAAAACAAGAUGCUGUUUCUUAUUUUUGCAAAAAAGAAAAUGUUAGCAUUGGUUAAUUUUGCUUAAUUACAGGUUUCAUGUAUUGUCACUCUUGGAUGGCUACUUGAAAGUGGAUUGACAAGUGAGGAGUGAAGGACUGAAAAUGUACAAAACUUGCUGAAAGUUUCACAACUGUGGAUUGUGGAUGCCAUACUAAGCUUUUGAAAGCAUGUAUAUUGUGGAUAUAUGAAGAAUGCAUGAUCUGUUGGUUAUGAAAUUCUUAGUUCAAUAUUAUGUUUUUCAACUGAUAUAAGGAUCAGAAAUUUUGAAGUUAGCUUGGCAGGCCUCUUCAUAAAGGCUACUGAACAUUUGCAAGUAUUGACAUGAUAAGCAGCGUUUCAACAGUUAACCAACAGCUUCCUAUAUAUCAGGGCAUAUUUGUGACAUACCGUUUUUACUGUCUAUUGAGUUUCAAUUUUACUGCUUCUUGCUCUAUUUUAGCGAGUUAUGAAGAGAAUAACAAAUUUUCACAUGCUCUUUUUUACAUGACUUCAUGCUGCAUUCAAAAGGUUUAGAAUGUUUUGUAGUUUGCAAAAAGAUAGCACUUAUUUGUCAAAUUUCAUUUGCUUGCAUUACUAACAUAUUUUUUAACCACAUUUUUAUCUUACAUACAUUGUAUCAAAAGUCAAAAGUCAAAAUAGUGCUACAAUAUUUUUUUACAAAAAAUUAUCCCAAAUAAUCUACUUGAUUUUUCAUGCAUCAUCAUCGUACAUGAAUAGAAGGCCACAGAGUGGAAAAGUGAGAAUUAAAUCAUUUAUUUAAACAUGAUGAAUAUUAGGACACAAGUUAUGAUUUGUUCUUCAAGUUCAAGGUUGAAUUUUUUAAUGCAAUAUUUUCAAAAUUUUAAACUCACUAUUUUUUUUUCAAAAUUAAAUAGAAGUAUUAAGUAAAAAACAUGCGUUAGAUGAAAUAUUACACAGCUGGUUAGUGGUUACCACAUCCAAAAAAAAAAAAAAAGAGAAGAAAAAAUGCUGGUCACUUGCAAAAUUAAAGUGGAAUAAGUAAAAAUUGGAGAGACCACCUAAGGGAAAGACGUGAGAAGCAGAGACCGCUCUCCGCUUUGUCCAAGAUGCGAAAGCGUUCCCUUCCAUCAACUUAUGCAAACGGUAAAGGGUGGUAGAUCUCUUUCAGAGUUUCCACGUUUUCUGUGGUUUGAGGAGACGGCUUUUUGGUUUUGAGAUUUGACCAUGGAGUUCUUAGACGAAGAUGCCCGACCCAGAUUCGUCCUCCAAUCGAAGCCUACACCCGAACCCGCCCAAUCGUCCCAAGAUCCCCCAUCUCUCCGUAAACCCACUCUCUUCAUUUCUCUCACUGUCUCUGCUCUUUUCCUCGCUCUGUCAUUCCUCUACUUCACCUUAGAUCCCUUCCAAUCCCUCUUCAUAUGGUUCUCUCUUUCCCUCCUCGUCGGCCCAUUUGCUCCCCUCUCCCUCACCGCCGGCGACAUCCGGGUCGGCCUUGGCCCACCCCUACCCGAACCCACAAAGGAAACCGAAAUAUCUGAUGAGGUUAGCAAAAGAAGUGGUAAAAGGUCAGUAAAAUCUACAAGGAGACAAGACGGGUCAGGAAAUGGAUCCGGGUCAACCAGGCCGGAUUACGGCUGGGAAGCGGUGGAACAAAAUGGGUUUUCGGUGAAUCGAAAUGGGUUGGUUGCAAAAUUUGAGAAGAGCGAGGGGAAGGUUGUGAAUGAGGAGGUGCAGUGGGAUGCGGGGGAUGAUGAGUUGUUGAAGAAGUUGAUGGGGAAGCAUCCGGUAGGGAAGCCGGGACGUUGGGAGGCGGUAACUGAGGGUUUUAAGGGCAGGCAUAGCGUAGACAGUGUGAUAAAGAGAUCAAAGGAAUUGGGGGAAAAAAAAGUGAGUGACGAGGAUAGUUAUAAGAAGUUUUUGAAGGAUAGGAAGCCGGUGGAUAGGCGAAUCGAGGGGGGAAAUGAGAGUCAUGUUGGAGGAUUGCAGAGCGUUGAAGCGAAGGGAGACAGUAGUGGAUGGAGUGCUGGGGAGGAUUUAGCAUUGCUUAAUGCUCUAAAAGCCUUUCCUAAGGAUGUACCAAUGAGGUGGGAGAAGAUUGCAGCUGCAGUGCCGGGGAAAACGAAGCCAGCUUGUAUGAAAAGAGUGGCAGAAUUGAAGAAGGAUUUCAGGAGUUCUAAGGCUGGUUCUAGUGAGGCUUAAAUGAGAGAGUGGCAAUCGAAUUCUGACUGCCUUGAGAAGGUAAAAAUUUUGUAUUACAGAGUGAUACACUUUAAAAAUUUUAAGGAUAGAGAUUGAUGAAUACUCUUUCAACGCUGGAUUUGAGUCCAUUCUAGAAACCUGUAACCAAUACGUUUUAUCGUAGACGAGAGUGUUGAUAAGUUAUUAAUUUUUGGAUAUUCAUUGGAAUCUUGUUAUUUGUAUGAAUCAAUGUGUUAUCAAUUAAGUUACAUUUUACUGUUCACAAAUGAUCUUAGUGUCUGUCUUGCAACUUAUUUGUUUGAGUUGUUAAGAGGUCUUUGUCGACUGUUCAUGUGGUCUGUCCAAUGAUGGGUUCAAUGUUCGAUGCUGAAGUUGUGAUAUUCCUCUAGGAAAUGAUCCUGUGGCCAUUUCGUGGGAGCUUUUCAAACUGGCAUGCGACAUAGUAAUUCUGGGGAUAUGACCUAGUGUCUUGCUAUAAAAUGUAAAUGCAUCAUGCAAUAAGCUCAGGGCAUUAUUGUGCAGAUUGAAGGAUGAAAUGAACGAAACACUGGGGCAGGGGAGGGCUCUUAUAAUACUUCCCACUGAGAGGUUUAGGGUUCAAAUUUUGGGCAUGACAAUUAGAGGUGGGAAGGGUGAAGGGAUGGGUAAAAACAAAAAAAAAAAAAAGAAGAAGCAGAAGAAGGUGAACUAUGGGAUGGUUUGUAUGAGUGCUGAUCUUACUCAAUUUUAAGUGUGCUAAAACUACUCAAUUGAGUCCGUUGCAGGAUGCAUAAAUUGUUGUGAAUAUACUUAAUCUGUGUGGAAACUGUUUAUAUACUUUUUUUAAUUUCUUUUUUUUUCUAUGGAUAUAAUUCCUUGAAGGUACAAGCUAAGUGAUAGUAUGGAUACACAUAAUGUGAAUGAAUGUAACUGGAAGCUAGAAGCACCAAUAAAUGAAGCAAUGACACAAGAUGCUGUUAGAUAUUAGAUACCAAGAUACAGGUCAACGUACUCCCUUAAACAGUUACAUGCAAUAUCAUAGAAAGUAUUUAGAUGAAGCUUUAAAAUGCUGUUAGAUAAUAUAUUGAAUGGGGUUUUUUUUGAAGAAUGAUUUUUGAUAUGAAACUACAUUGAACUGUAACUGGACUCUCUCAGAUGUACAGAUACCUUGUAAGCUUAGUCUUAGUUGUGUGUGUCAGUUGUAGUGUAAGGAGCCAAUAACUAAUGCAUCAGAUGGAGUUAGUGGAUGUCUGUAUUCAGGAAUGAUUUUCAUAUGGAAAAUACAUUUUAUAGAGUAAGAUGAUAUGCAUUUAGUGACUCUUGUUGAGUUAAUUGCCAGUUUUGUGUUGGUGUAAGAGCCAUUUGUUAUUGAGUCAGAUAGAGUGCCAAUAACCAUCUUUCACUCUCCAAGUAAAUUGGAGAAAUUACAAGGUAUCUCCAGUAAAUACCCUGAGAUGACUGGUUUGGAUUGUCAAGUUCUUAUAUACCAAGAAAUAGUUUUCAAGAUCAGCAAGUUGGUAUGAAUCUUUAAGUGGCAGUUGAAAAACUUUUACUGAAAUAGAGCAUGCUGCUGGAGAAAACUUUAGACACAGACACAUAAAGGUUUGGAUCAUGGAGUCACUAGUUAAAAACCUUCUUAUCUGUUCUCUUCUUCGGUAAGUUGGAUUAGUGUUAUAAUUUUGGAGGUGUGAAUUUAUAGCAAUUCCAAUCUGAUCUCUCUGGAACAGUUCAUAAAAUUACUGGUUUGGAUUGUCAAGUUUUCCUUAUAUGCCCAGAAAAUUUUAUCAAGAUCAGCAAACUGGUACAAAACUUUUUAGUGGCCCUGAAGAAACUAUAACUAUAACUUUUGAGUGAAAACACACUGUAUACACACACGUAUGGGUAUUGGUCCAUGGAGUCAGUAUCCAAAAUCUGUUCUCUUAUCAGGUAAGUUAAUCAAGGUUUUGGAUUUUGGAGGUGCGAAUUUAACGAAAUCCCAAAUGAAGGAGAAUGAAAGUUAAAAACAAUCCCAGAUGCAUUUGAGAGCUUCAGAAUUUAGAAUAUCUAGAUAUGGGUGAUACUAUUGCCAGGGGGUUACCAAUGCAAAUCCCUUUUUAACUAGAUUAUUUAAAUCCUGAUAAUGCGUGUUACUCAUUAAAGUUCCAUCAGAAUUAAGAGGGCUUCUUUCCUUGCUAAAGUUACAAACCAUAAAUGUUUCAACAGUCCAUGAUUAUUUUCUUCUUUAUGUUGGGGCAACACAGAAAUUGAACUGGAUUUUUUGAAUCACGGAUUAGUUUUUAUUUUUGCAUUAAGUUGCUUCAAAUUCCUGUUGGUCCUCACUUACAAUAAUUAAUGUUCUUUCUGUUGAAAAUGAAAAUUUAUGCAUAUGAAAUAUCAUAUGCAACAAUACUUGGCACCAGGUAUAACCAAUGUCACGCUGACACAGAAUAACAGAGAUUAAUUGAGAAAGUGUUUUCUUUCCUUCGAAAGCUGUCAAAGAGGAUAACAGAAGAGUUGAAGUAAGAAUAAUAUUCUAGAUACGAAGAAUGAAGCCAUCUUUAUUUAUCUUAUUAUUGACACCAAAAGUGGUGCUUCAACCUUAAAUGAUGCUCAUUUGUAGUAUUGAAGAAAGAAUAUUUGGAUAGAGAAUUAUUUCAAAUAAUUAUUUGGAAUAAUUACUGUAGCACUUUUUGUGAUGUGAUAUAUGUAAGAUAAAAAUAUGAUUGGAAAUAUAAAAAGGUGGAUUGAGAAAUGUGUUUAUGAUGGAAGCGAAAAAUUUUUGAAGAAAAAUUUGCUAUCCAAACAACAUUUCAAGUUGAUUCUAUCUACCCUACGGAAUAAAUUAUUGCAGGAAGAAGGUAAAUCAUGAAUAAUUCUUGGCCAACAUUAACUGGAGGGGUUAUUAAUAACACACAGUUGGCCUGAUUUUCUGUAAGAAGAAAAAUUCUUGCUUUAUGGGUCCGUUUGUUUCGGGUGAAAAUAUUUUCCUAAUUUCCCGUGUUUGGUUACACAAAAGUUACUGAAAACAUUUUCCUAUGUAAAAUAUUUUCACCCAUCUUAUGGAAAACAACUUCCCUUCCAAAUUUACUGAAGUUGUUUUCCGAAAUGCAUGCAUUCCGCCUGUAGUAUGUUCCAAACUUACUGAAAACAUCUUGUAGUAUGUUCUUUUUUUUUUAGUGUAAACAGGAGGACUCGAACCCAAGACCUCUUCCUUACACUCCCUCCCCCGUACCACCCAACCCAACCCUCCCCUAGUAUAUUCAAAAUUAAAAAAAAAAAACCUCAUCCUGCUCAUCCUAUGCUAGUAAUUAAUAAUGUAUAAUAGGGACAUUCUUUUUUAGAGAAACUUUCAACAGUGAGAGUGCAAGAUAUAUGUCACAAUAUGCAUUGCAUGUGAUUGAUAUUUGACACUAAAUGGCCAGCAAUUUGUUUAUUGCUUGAGGAGAUAUUUUUUAUUCAUAUAUACAUUUCUCCAAGAUUUUUUAAAGUUAAACAAUGAGAUAAAUUUUCUUAUUUUGCAUGGAAAGAAGUAUGUAAUUAUAAUGUGUAGAAAGUAAAGAUAGAGAUAAAAGUGAAAAUAUUUCAAAAGUUAAACAAACACCAGAAAAAUGAAGUAAGAAAAUAUUUUCAAUAAACUAACCAAACACCUGAAAAUGAUGAAAGGGAAAUGAUUUUCAUGGAAAAUUACUUCCACGAAAAUAUUUUUCCAAAGAAAACAUUUUACUUCCAACCAAACAGACCCUAUAUGAAAUAGAUUCUCUCCCUUUAAUUCCAAUAUAUAUAUUUUUUUGGUUAGCCUGAUUCAUUGCAAACUUGUCUUGCGGCAAAUGUUGUAAGACGAAAUAACAAUGCUGAAAAGACACAAAAGACAAAUAACAAUGUUGCUACUGAAUUUGUUUCCUCAUACUUUUGUAGUACAAUAUAGAAAGGCAUGUUUCCUCAAUGAGAAUGUGUAUUUGAGAGCCUUUGAAGAUGAUAUAGCUAAGACUUAACGUAAGAAUAGAACGGACGAAGAAUAAAGCCAUGUUUGUUAAUCUCUUUUCUUACUCGUAAGGCUGAUUUAUUCCUAAAGUGGCGCUUCAGCUCUCACCUAAAGUGAUACUAAUUUCCGGAAGUGAAGAAAGAAUAAAUCAUUUCAACUUUCUUUCUACAAAUUCCAAACCAUGAGGAACAAGGAAGGUAGAAAAAGAGCAUUACUUCCAAUUGAAUCAGCCUGAUCGCCGGCCAAGGUCUUCCUUUCUAUAUAAUAAAUCCUUCUCAGGCACCCAAAAAAUAUAUGAAGUUAAAACCAUUCUUCUACUCAUAACCAUAUAAAAAGAAGCGAAAACCCUGCCUCCUUCUUCUUCUUCUUGAAAAAAAAAACUAUAAAAUGGCAGAAACUGUUGUCUCUUUUGUUUCAAAUCGUCUCGCAACCUUACUCCAAGAGGAGGGAAGCCUGUUGGGAGGGCUUCGACAAGAGGUCCAACUCAUCAAGGAUGAGUUGGGGCAUAUGAAAGCUUUCCUCAAAGUGGCUGAAGCAAAAGAAGAUGAUGAUCCCAGGUAUGGGUGGCAAACCAAUCCACCUAACUAAAUUUACUCGUACCCGUCUAUGAAUAGAUGGGUAUGGAUAUCUUAAAUUUUUUUAUAUGGGUAUAAAUGGGUUACCCAAUAAUACCCAUUUAUUAAAUGGGUAUUAUUGGGUAACUCAUCAAACUCAAUUAACCCAUUUAGAAUUCUCUUUUCCCACCCAUUUUUUUUCAGAUUUUUUAUUUUGUCAUGAUGUCAACUACUUUUGUUUCAUUAUUAUUAUUAUUUGUUGGUUUAUCUUAUUAUUUUAUUUUCUCUUAGUUUGUUAACUUACUCAUUUUUCAGCAUUACCAAUUUAUGAUAAGUUUUAGCCUCUUUUCUUAUCUUUCUAAAAUGAAAAUUUAAAUUUAUAUAUGAAAAAAAUGUUGGGGGUUCAAAAAUUUUGAAUUAAGUUUUUAUAGUACUUAGUUCAAAUUUUUAUAAAUCAUUUCAACUUUCUUUCUACAAAUUCCAAACCAUGAGGAACAAGGAAGGUAGAAAAAGAGCAUUACUUCCAAUUGAAUCAACCUGAUCGCCGGCCAAGGUCUUCCUUCCUAUAUAAUAAAUCCUUCUCAGGCACCCAAAAAAUGUAUGAAGUUAAAACCAUUCUUCUACUCAUAACCAUAUAAAAAGAAGCAAAAACCCUGCCUCCCCCUUCUACUUAAAAAAAUAUAUAUAACAAAAAACAAUACAAAUGGCAGAAACUGUUGUCUCUUUUGUUUCAAAUCGUCUCGCAACCUUACUCCAAUAGGAGGGAAGCCUAUUGGGAGGGCUUCGACAAGAGGUCCAACUCAUCAAGGAUGAGUUGGGGCAUAUGAAAGCUUUCCUCAAAGUGGCUGAAGCAAAAGAAGAUGAUGAUCCCAGGUAUGGGUGGCAAACCAAUCCACCUAACUAAAUUUACUCGUACCCGUCUAUGAAUAGAUGGGUAUGGGUAUUUUAAAUUUUUUUAUAUGAGUAUAAAUGGGUUACCCAAUAAUACCUAUUUAUUAAAUGGUAUUAUUGGGCAACCCAUUAAACCCAAUUAACUCAUUUAGAAUUCUCUUCUCCCAAGUCUCUUCUCUUCUCCCACCCAUUUUUUUUUUCCACAUUUUUCAUUUUGUCAUGAUGUUAACUACUUUUGUUUCAUUGUUAUUAAUAUUUGUUGGUUUAUCUUAUUAUUUUAUUUUCUCUUAGUUUGUUAACUUACUCAUUUUUUAGCAUUACCAAUUUAUGAUAAGUUUUAAUCUCUUUUCUUAUCUUUCUAAAAUGAAAUUUUAAAUUUAUAUAUGUUAGGGGUUCAAAAUUUUUGGAUUGCAUUUUUUAACACUUAGUAUAAAUUUUUAUAUUCUUAUUAUUCAAUUAUUAAAUAAUAUGUAAUUUUGCGACAUAGAGUAUCAAUGGAAAAAAAUUGGUAAUUAGACUUAUUAAGCAUUAUAAGUAAAUAUUUAAAACUAAUGAUGGGUACAAAGAGCGGUAAAAAUUGAUAACUUAGUUUGCAAAAAAGAAUUUAAAUGAGUUUACAAAAAGUUAAAAUAAAUGGGUUAUAAAUGGAUAUUUGGAUUAUCCAAUUCAUUUUUUGACUUACCCAUUUAUACCCAUCUAAUUAAAUGGGUAUAAACGGAUUGACUCACUUAUACCCAUUACCCAUUUUAUCCAAUCCAAACCCGUCCAAGUCACCCAUUUUGGCACCUCUAAUCUCAGGCUUCAAGAAUGGAUCAAGCAAGUGCGCGAAGCUGCUUAUGACAUUGAAGAUGUUCUCGAUGAAUUUGUACUUCGCUUUGCUGGCUACCGACAUCAUGGAUUCUGUGGCUCUCUUCAGAGAAUUCUCAAAGCCAUUAAGAGCUUGCCAGCUCGUCAUCAGGUUGCCAGUGAAAUUCAAAGCAUAAAGUCCAGGAUAAAAAAUAUUUCAGAAUUACGUCGGAGAUACCAAGAUGAAUUUGGCAUCGACCACCGUGUCACUGGAUCUUCAACCAUGACCAACUCACGGCGCUAUAGCAGGGAUGAUGCACUUCUAGUGGAGGAAGCAAAAUUGGUUGGCAUUGACCAGCCCAAACAACAUCUGAUUUCUAAGCUUCUCGAGGGACACGAUCACCAACUCAAAGUUAUUUCAGUGGUUGGUAUGGCUGGACUAGGGAAAACUACCCUAGUCAAAAAAAUCCAUGAAGAUCCAGAAGUAAGAAAGAAUUUCCCAGUUCGUGCCUGGGUAACCGUCUCCCAAACAUGCGACUUUCCAAAGCUCCUGAGAGACUUGAUUCGGCAGUUGAACAAGGACUUGGACAAAUCAGUCCCACAAUCGAUCGAGUCCAUGACUACCGCUGAGCUGAAAGAAUUUGUCAAAGAUUUUCUUCGACGAGCUGGAAGGUAUGCAAUUGUGUUUGAUGACGUGUGGGACGUGGAAUUUUGGAAUGAAAUCAAAUUUGCACUACCUGAGGGUAACUACGGCAAUCGUGUCAUGCUGACAACACGAAAUGCCGAUGUAGCCCCUGCCUCUUGCACAGAAUCUCAGGAUUAUGUCUACAAAAUGUUGCCACUAUCAAUUGAAGAUUCGUGGACCCUAUUUUGCAACAAGAUCUUUAAAGGAAAUCGUUGCCCCGCCCACCUGAUGGAUGUUGCGAAAGCUGUAUUGGACAAAUGUGACGGUUUGCCUUUGGCGAUUGUUGCGAUUGGUGGGCUCUUGGCUUCGAAGGACGUGAGCAGAAUAGAUGAAUGGGAGAAGAUUCAACACAGUCUUGGGGGUGAAUUAGAAGGCACCGGUAAGCUAGAGAGAGUUAAAAGAAUACUUUCUCUGAGUUACAACGAUCUGCCUUCGCAUCUCAAACCCUGUCUGUUGUAUUUAACCAUUUAUCCGGAGGAUUAUCUAAUAGGAUGCUAUGGACUAAUUAAUUUGUGGAUUUCUGAAAGGUUUGUAGAAUGGAGAGAAGGAAUGAGUAUUGAAGAUGUAGCCUAUGAUUAUCUCAGUGAACUCAUCAGUAGAAGCCUAAUUCAAGUGACUGAAGUGUUUUAUGAAGGAACGCCCCACACGUGUCGAAUCCAUGACCUAUUGAGAGAAGUUAUUCUCAUCAAGUCAAGGGAACAAAACAUGGUGACAGUUACUACUGGACAACCAAUGACGUGGCCAUCUGAGAAGGUACGCCGUCUAGCAAUCCAUAGUAGUAGUAACAGUAGCAACAUCCAAUACCACCAACAAAGACAAUUUUAUUCCUUUGAACACCUUCGAUCAUUCAUGACUGUCAGAUCCACCAACCCAUCACUGUCCAAAACUUUCCUAUCUGAAGUUCUAAGGAGCAGUAAGUUGCUAAAGGUUUUGGAUUUGCAAGGUGAAAAGAUAGAGGAAACACCAAAUGAGGUUUUCAACUUGUUGCAUCUCACGCAUCUGAGCCUAUAUGGUACAAAAGUGGCAAGAGUCCCGAGAGCUAUUGGGAAGCUUCAACAUUUGGAAUAUCUGAAUUUGGGGGACACUGGAGUUAGGGAAUUACCCGUGGAAAUCCUAAAGCUGCUAAAGUUUCGGCAUCUCAUAGUAUUCGAACGAGUUGAUCCCUCAGAUAGUGAUUUUGGAUUUCAUGGGUUUAAAGGUCCGUCCAAAUUGGGAGGGCUUCUCGCCCUUCAAACAUUAAACACCAUAGAUGCAAGUAGCGGGUCUGUAAUAGUUAAAGAGAUAGGAAAAUUGACCCAAUUAAGAGACUUAUAUAUUACACAGUUGAGAAGAGAAGAUGGAAAGGAGCUCUGCUCCUCCCUUGUCAACCUCACCAGCCUUCGGCUAUUAAGUGUUGCUUCAGUUGGAAAAGGUGAUGAUUCUGAGAUAAUUGAUCUAAAUCAUCAUCAACAUUCUCUUUCUUCUUCUUCUUCUUGUUCGUUUCUUCAAUCUCUUCGUGUGCUAAUUAUGCUUGGCCGCUUAGAAACGAUGCCAGUAUGGACAACUCAUCUUCAAAACUUGGUAAAAUUAAAUUUUACCUGGAGCGGGUUAAGGGCUGAGGAGGAUCCGCUUGAAUCCCUCCAACAUUUGCCCAAUUUGGGUGAAAUUACUUUCUGUGGAUCUUACCAGGGAGAAAGGUUGUGUUUCAAGGCUGGAGGGUUCCUAAAGCUGAAACGGUUGUGGUUAAGGAGAAUGGAAGGGUUGAGAUGGAUAACAGUGGAGGAGGGCGCGUGCCCAAAUCUCCGAAAACUAGUUCUGAAUCAACUUCCAUCACUAGAGGACUUACCUUCGGGAAUUCAGCACUUGAGCCAUCUUCAAGAGCUGGGUUUGUAUGAGAUGAGUUCUCAACUGAUGGAAAAGGUGGGGAAUCAGAAGGAAGACAGUGAAGAUUACAGAAGAAUGGCACACAUUCCUGAAAUUGUCAUUGGUUUCUAUACAAAUGAUGGUAGAUGGAGAAUCCGCCGGCUAUGGGGGAAGAAGAAGAAAACAUUCCUUGCCUAGCAUUAGUAGCAUCCCGUGGCUUUCCUUUCUCUUCUUCUUCUGUUUUUCUGAGAAGUUUCUGAUGUUUUCUAUCUUCUCCACUGCGUGUAGUAUGGUGCAUUGCAUCAUCAUCUUGUUCAUAUGCUGCAUUUUGUUAAUGUAUUUUUUUAACUGUUUUUCUUAAAUUUUAACUUCAGCAAAUGCAACAUUCUUACCUGCCUCCCCAAAUAAGCGCUUGUGAGAUCAUGAGCUCAACGAUAACUAAGUACAGGAAUCAAUCUGCCCGUAAGUCUACAUAAAGAUUGCAAUGCAUAUAGCAUUGUGCGAAAUUUGAGAAUGACAAUCUUCUUUUCACUCUUCAAUUUUAGAUAAUAAAAGGGUCGGAUCCCAAUUUUGAUUUAUUUCUAAAAGUUUCUCUAGAUUUGCCAAUUUGUUAGGAGCAUAAAAAACGGAUUUAAGAAGCUCAUCAACAUGAAUAAGAAAAAAAUACUAAACAAAUAAAAGGUGAUUUACAGCUGAUGCAGCUCACCAAAGAGUUGAAGGCCAAAAUUGUAAAUCCAUCCAUCAUGCCACAUGAAUAACUUGCCACAGAAUCAUGGUGUUUAUUCCUCAAUCCAAAAAUAUGUAGCUUUCUAGAUACAUUUUUCCAAACCAGAUAGAGAAAAAUAAAAAAUGCAUCAGAUUUUCCUUGGUUUAUUAUACAGGGAAAUAACAUUGAAAAUCUAAAUACUCUAUAUGAUGAUCUAAUAGCUAAAUAUCCUUCUAUCUCUGUCCUAAAAUAUGAUAGUAACAAAAAAUAAAAUGGCAUUCUCGUCAUUUUGCCCUCAUGAAAGCUAUCCUCUUUCUUGAUUUCUUCCUCAACGAACCCCUGCCCCCUCUCUCUCUGGAAGUUCUAUGUAGUUCUUUUUGUGAGCAACAUAGCUGAUUCACCACCAAUGGGUAUUUUUUUCAUGGUUUAAGGGAACCAAAAACGAUACCAACUCCAAACCCGAACCUGUUAAAACCCAAUCCGCUUCUAAAGUUCCCGGCACGAACGGAGCAGUGGAGGUCCGGCGGCCCGGCCCACCACUAGCUGAUAUCACCGUUUUCGAAUUCGGUUCCGUUGCCGCUUCUACCGAUAAGGUCACCCUCGCCGGCUUCUGCCCUGUUUCCGACGACCUCGAACCUCGCCGAUGGGAGAUUUUGCCGACUCAAGGCUCCGACCCCCCUCAAUUUCGCGUAGUCUUUUGACGGAAAAAUAAUUGGCAAAAAAGAAAGGGAGAAUUUUCAGCUUAGCUUUUGAGGAAAUGGUGAGGAGGAGUAAAAUCCCAAUCCAUUCCUGAGUAGAGUUUCUUCAGUUCAUACGGGCUUUUAACUAUACUAGAAAAACAAAAAAGCUUGUAUCUUUUUUGACCAUUCAAUUUUGGGAUACUUAUGAUGUAUAGUAUGGUCGUCUUUAUCGUUUUUGUGGUAAAAGACUCACACAAUGUAUAACGAAGUCAGUGAAUAAUGUCAUGUCAGUCCCGGAAAUGUGCAGAGUAAUGUGGCUUUUUUGAUUCUGUAAUCUAAAGAAAGGUGAGCCACCAGGCCUUUGGCCUUGCGGUUGCGGUCACCAUCGGUCUUGGCUGCGUGGGAGAUCAAGAUUCAACUCUUAUCUUUUUCUCAUUGUAUGUGGCGGAAGGUGAAUUAUAGUAAAUCCCAUGAAGUUUUGGUAGAGUUGCACUUUGACUCUCACAGUUUCAUGUUUUUUCAUCAAAUACUCUUGACCCAUGGAUCUUGACUCAUUUUUCAUUCUUCUAUUUGUUUUCUUUUCUGUUGUUCAUCCAUUUUAUUUCUAUCCCUUUUACUUUUUUUACCAUGCAUUUUCUCUGUAUCAAUUUUUUUUUCUCUAUACACAUUUUACUUUCUUUUUUUUCAUUUAUCCACCGCCUAAAGAAAAUAUUGAAAAUGAAAUUUUAGCAAUACUUUAAAAUCAUAUCUCCUUUAGUUACUUAGGUGUACCAGCCUAUGCAUUAGUUUAGCCUAUGCGUUCGUAUUUUGCUUAAAUAAGUGAGAGUAAUAAAAUUGUAAAAAUUGAAGAUAAAAGCAAAGAAAAAUUAAACUAAGUAAAUGCAUAACCUAAAUUUACCAAGAUGGGGGAGUUUCGUCAAGAACAAGAUGAAGGAAUAAUAAAAGAAAAAAUAUAAUGAAGUAAGGAAAUGAUUUAAUAUGUUUUAGGGGCUUCUAAUACAAGCAAGACCAUAAGAUGAAUAAUAUAAAAUUCAGCUACUAAUUCCCUUCAACUUAAUGUUUUUACACUAGGAUUGAUAAGUGAACUGAAUGAACUUCCAGUUCAUUAGAUAAUUGAUUCAAUUGAACAAGUCAAACUUUCAACUUUUUUAAACUUGUUUUGAUCUUAAGAAAACUAAAUAAUACUGAAUUUAAAAAUUUUAAUGUUAACUAGUACAAGCUCUUUAAAAUUGUGCUCUUUUGCUUCUUUUUUCUGAUUUUAUUUCUAAAUUAUUUUGAAAGUAUAAAUUAAUUAAAUAAUGUAGUUUCCUCUUUUGAUUCACUAUACUUUUUGGGAACUGAAAUUUCGUAAACUAAUACAUUUUAUUGUGUAAAUUACCAAGACAACCACGUGCUUCAUAAAAUGACAAACAAAACUUUCGUUUAUAAUUAGUGAUAUAAUAUUUUCAGAUUAAUCAUUACACUAAUAGCGUGUAUUAAUGAUUGAGAUACAUCAUCCAAACUUGAAUUUGAAUUCCACAUUUUGCAUAGGGUGCGUGUAUAAACCCUGUAGUUUAUAUAUAUAAAUAGUGUAGAAAAUAUUUAUCUAUAUAUUUUCAAAUAAAUCUUUUAUACAUUGUUAGUAUGAAAUGAGUUUAUACUAAUGGUUCAUUAUUGUGCGCCAAUUCAUUAAUGAAGGUGCAUAGCCUGUUGGGUAACUAAGUUUAGCUUCUUUCAUUAAUGAAAAAUAUAAGUUUUUUUUUCUUUUUUAUAAGUGGAAGGUCUUGAAAGAUAUAAGUGUAGCUUGAACGGUAGUGCAUAAAAGCCUUGGAACGACUGAUUUGAAUAGGAGAUUAUUUGGGAUAAUUUUUUGAAAAAAAAAAGCUAGAAUUCUUUUGAUGUGAUGUACGUAAGAUAAAAAAAAUGAUUCAAAAUAUGUUUAUGAUAUAAGCAAAUAAAUUUAUAAAUUAUUAAAUUACAUAGAAAUUAAUUAAAUAAAAUUUAAUACAAAUAAAAAAUCAACAGUUUAAUAAAAUUAGAGCUUUAUCUCAACUAAAACUAUGAAAACUCAUGAAAAUCAAUUUCGAGAAAAACCUAUAGGUCUAUCCAUCCAUUGCCUUUGUUUUCAUAGUUUUGCUUGCUAAAUGUAUUUACUUUUCCACUUUUUGCAAUCUAUUCCAACUUAUCUUGCAUGGUGAUUUGAAGUGAAAAUCACUUGUCCCAAUUCAAAUGUCAAAAUUCAUACCUUAGUAAAACUAAAAUAAUUUUCAUAAAAUAAUAAACGUGGUAUAACAUCUAUCUAAAGUUACUUGACACUGACAAUGUAUAUAAGAUUUACUCUAUAUUUUCUAGCAUUAUAUACAUUUGGAAGACUAAAUUAAAAAAUCGUCUCACUUUAUAUGACUAAACUGAAGUCUUUAAUUUAAAUUGAGAUUUUGUGUUAGGGACCAAAUUGAUACUUUCAAAGUAUUUCAAAGGACCAAAUAGAAACUUUUCCAAUUUGACUCAAUUAAAUUGAGAUUUUGGAGUUCAAAGGACCAAAUGAAAUUUACCAAUAGCCAAACUGGCUAGUUGACUUUCUUUUAUAGCCAUAUUAUAUGGGUCCCAAACUUUUAUUGCUAUAUAGGAUAGAGCACUGGAUUUCUAGUUUGUGAAUGCUCUAUUUAAUACCACAUAUGAAUCUGUGUUUGUUGUUUGUCUAGUUUUUAGUGGUUGAAAAUGCCUUUAUCAUAAAAAUGUUAGAAACUACUACACCAUUUUGUAGAAUUUACCUCAAUUUUGAAGUUUCUCUGUAAUUUACCUAUGUUUGACACUUUGAUUAGGAUAUGAUAAAGACCUUUACUGCACUUUUUUCCCUCUUUGUUUUUGGUUGGGUCUAGACAUGGGUGGUAUUGGCUUGAAAACAUGAGAAGGAAGGGGAAAGAAGUAAAUUUGUUGUGAUAAGAUUUAGAGGUGGUAAAAUGGGCGGGAUUCACAGGAUUUUCUUGGAUUUGAGAUGGAACCAAGUAAUAUGAAUUUGGGUCCAACCUUAUCCAUAUCUAUUUUAGGACUAACUAAUUUGGACGGGAUCACUUUAGAAUGGAUUUAGAUUGAUUCCGUCCAAUACCCAAUUUUAUUUUUUGUAUUUUUUUUCUUUAAUUCUUUUUUUUAUAUAACUUUAAUACUUUUAAUUUAUUAAAUUUCUUUUAGUCUUAUUGUGAAUUUAUAUUUUCUUGAAUUCUUUUUUCCCUCAAAUUUUCUUUUAUUUAUUUUCUAUGUAUAUAUAUAUAUUUUUUAAUCUUUAAUUUCCAAUGUUGCUAAAUUUAGUUGAGGAACAAAUAAGUCCUAUAAAAACUUAAAAGGACUUGUGUUAAUGAGGAUAAAUAAAUGGUGUUUAGAACUUUGAACCAUCAUUAAACUACCAAGGUUGGACAAAGUAUUUUCUGAUAGGAUUACAAAUUAAUGACUUCCAUAUUACUCCUAAUAUUCAUUUUGAUCAGUAUUCUACUAAAAAAAGAGCUCAAAACCAUUGAGUUUCCGUUCUUUUGAUAUUUUUCAAAAAGCACUCUAAAUUGAGAUUGGCGAUAGAAUUUUUACGAAAAAGGAAAAAAUAAAAAAAAAACUGAUUUCUAAGGGACGAAAGAGUUAAGAAAACUAGAUAGGGGUUUUAAGUAUAAUUACAAGGAAAAACUGAAGGAUCUAAUUGGAAGAAUAAAAGUGGUUCACUUGGGUCAUAUAACAAUUGAUUGGGUAAAUUUUUGGUGAGAUACUUAGGCCCCAAUGGGUACCCAAGAAUUUCCCAAACUUUCCCAUCAAUUAAUGGGUGUAAAUGGGAUUAGUCCCAUUUUAACCCAAUAUUAAAAUUAGAAUACCAUCCCGUCCAAAACCCCUUUGGGUAUGGAUAGUCCAUUAGAGCUUGAGACAUAUUGCUACCUCUAGAUAGAUUGGUUAUUGCGUUGUUGGAUGAUAGUUGCACAUUUUCUUCUAUUUCCUGCGAUUGGCUGUAGAAUUAUUAUGGAAAAUUAUAAAUUAGUGGAAAGGGCGCCCUUGGAGCCCUAAUCAAAAAAGGGUUCAGUUUUUUAGGCCAGUAUGUGUACAUGAAAAUGCGUUUUCACACAUGAAGGCCUUCUAUAGAUGUGCUUUGUGUUUGUGUCUGUAAUUGCAUUGGCAGUCUCCCGUCAGAAGGGGUUUUUGAACCAAUAUCACAUUACGCAUAUAAUGUUGUUUGCCGCGAUUAACUAAGGUGUUUGGGCUUGGGUUGGGUGGUGGGAUUUGAAAUUGAAAUGUUUUGAGUAUUUGAGGGUGGGGUCAGAGGUUUCUUUCCGUAACGUUUUAGAAUAGCUUUGGGCUUAGUUGGAAGAUUUCUCCACGGCCUAUAUUCCGGUGGAGCGGUUGGAACAGGAAUGGUGUGAAGUAGUUAGGGGCAAUGAACAAGGUCAUGAUGAUCCAACCUUUCACAGUUUAGGUUGGAAGUAGCUGUCUAGCAGGAUGGAAUGGGGCAAAGUUGAGUGUAAAUCAAGUUCUGUUCUAUGCAGCGUCCGGCAAAACAACCCCUCUCUGUGUUGGUUGUCUUGCAUCAAUCUUUAACAAAUUCAAGCAGGAGACCCGGGAGUCGGAUCCAAAUUCCUGCGAUUGUUGGUUUGGCCUCCAAAACGUUGAAGUAUGGACUCCCUUUCUCAUUGUCUCUCCGUUGAUGACAUCAACCUCUUUUCCAAAACUGGUCUAACUUCUCUUAAAACCAUCAAAUUUGUGUUGGAUUCUUUCUGUAAUGUCUCUGGUUUGAAGAAUUGGACCAUGUCUUCCGGACUUGCCCUCUAGCCCAAACUUUUUGGAUAAAGCUGAAACCACCCUGGAAUGUUCAACACCAGGAUCUAGAAUUCAAAGUAUGGCACAAAAGUUGCUGCACAUCUUCUGUACCCUCACCUUAUCACUGCAUUUCUCGGGGAAUCAUUCUUUCUUUUGCCUGCUGGACCAUUUGGACAUGUCGAAAUAAAACAAUCUUCGAACCCCAUAAGGAAGUGUAUGUGUUCGUGUUUGUGUUUUGUGUAUGUAACUAUGUCUAUGUCAAUAAGGAUGAGCUUAUAUGAAUUGUGUACCAUGUAGAGCAUAUAUCAAGUCAUGUUGAGGUCAUGAGCUCAACACUUUCAGCUAAUAAGUGGAGGAAUCAAUUUGCCUACCGCCUAUAUAUUGAUUGCAAUGCAUAUAGCAUAGUGCCAAAUUUGAGAAUGACAAUCUUCAUUUCACUCUUCAAUUUUAGAUAACAAAAGGUAAGAUCCCAAUUUUGAUUUAUUUCUAAAAGUUUCUCUAGAUUUGCCAAUUUUCUAGGAGCACAAAAUGGGAUUUAAGAAGCUCAUCAACUUCUUGCUGUGUGUCUAAGAAAAAAACUAAACAAAUAAAUCCGUCAUACAUGAAUAACUAGCCACAGAAUCACAGCGUUUAUCCCUCAAUCGAAAACUAUGUAGCUUCCUAAAAUUGCAUCAGAUUUUCCUGGGUUUCUUAUAUAGUGAAAUAAUAUUGAAAGUCUAAAUAUUGUGAUGAUCUUAGAGUUAAAUAUCAUUUUAUUUCUGUCCCAAAGUAUAAUACGUAGUCACAAAAUUAAAUGGCAUUCUCGUCAUUUUGUCCUCCUCAAAAGCUAUCCUCUUUCUUGAUUACUUCCUCAAAACCCGGAAGAGCUUGCUGUUGGAGAAAGCUUUAGAUACAAACAUAUAUAUUGGUUUGGAUCAUUCAGUCACUAGUUAAAAAACUUCUUAUCUGUUCUUUUAUCAGGCAAGUUAGGUAAGCUGAAUAGUGUUAUGAUUUUGGUGGUGUGAAUUUAUAGAAAUUCCAAAUAGAUUUUCAACUUGCUCUCUCUAGAAAAGACUAUAAAAUUACUGGUUUGGAUUGUUGAGUUUUCCUUAUAUAUACAAAAGAUUUUAUCAAGAUCUGCAAGUUAGGACAAAUCUUUAAGUGGCACGGAAGAAACUAUAGCUGAAAUGGGCAUGCUCUUAGUGAAAACACUAUAUACAAACAUAUAUACGUACUAGUAAUAGUUCACUUACUUUUUGCACGUGAUUAUAUUAACCAAAAUAUAACAUCUCUUACAUAUAAAUUUUUUGUGAAAUUUGAUUGUGUACUAGAUAAAAUGAUAUUUUAUAAUUUUAAUUUCUUUAACCAGUUAUUGUUACAAAAAGUAUCUAAAUAGGAACUCCUUGAUCUAUUGAUUUUUGAAUUUAUUUUUCAAAAUUUUUAAAUUUAUUUUGAGCUUUUUGUAUAUUAUGGAUUUAGCUUUGAUAAACAAUUCUGAAUACGGUUGUGUUUCACCAAAGUUGUUGUACACUCAUAAUAUUUUUACCAUUAAAUUAUAAUAUUAUUUUCUCAAUGUCAUACAAAAGAUUAGGAAUGGCAAUGAUUCCCUUUCCCCCCCCCCCCCCACCCCCAAUCCCCCAAGGUUGCCUAAGCAUACCUUACUCCUGCCCUGCCCCCUAUCCCCUGCUUCCUCCACUCCACCCCUACCUCGUCCCGCUUUCCUUGCAGCGUAGGUGCCUGUGAGGGAAAUAAGUUUAUAUAUAAUUAGUAAAAAAAAAUGUAACUAGUAUUUGGCAUAAAUGUAUAAUUAGUAAUUUAAUAAAAUGUAUUAGUACAACUAAUCAAUAGUUUAUAUUAGUAUAAAUAUAUAAUUAUUAGUAUAACUAAGAAUAUUAAUUAUAUUACAUAUGCAUAAUUUGAUAUUUACAACUAAUAAUAUUAUGUGUGUGUGUGUGUGUGUGUGUUUUAAGGCAGGUAACAGGUCAGGGGAUGGAGGAUGAAAAUUACCCCUCGUCCCAUGAGUUUCCUAGUACCCACCCCAAUUACCAUCCCUAUAAAAGAUGUUGUUAAACAGAAAAUAGAUGUAUACAUGUCAAGUGUGACUUUAGAAAAUAGAAUUCAAAAUUAUUAGGGUAAAUACCUUAUUACUCCCUGUGAUUUUACAAAAUGCCAGAUGAUCCCCCUAAGAUUUUAAAAUAGCCACACAACCCCUAUGUAAUUUUAUGUAAAUUGAAAAAUGGAUGGAAUACAUAAUCAUUUACAGCAUUUGUACCAAAUUUGCUUUAAAACGUGUGUGAUAAAAUUUUAAUAUUUAUAUAACCUCCUUAUGAUUUGUAUAAAUAUCCAUUUUAUUCCCUGUGAUUUUUACAUUUAUUCAUAUAAUCUCCCUAUAUUUUUGAACAAAGUGAUUAUCCCGUCAAUUAAUUUAGCAUUUAAAUAAGGGCACUAUUAGUAUUUCAACUAACGACGUUACAUAGGUAUUUUCUGUCAAAUUUCCACUUUACAUAAAACCACAGGGGGAUGAAGUGGAUUUUUUGAAACGUUGAGGGGGCCAUUUGGCAACAGAUGAAACCACAAGGGUUGCAAGUAAUUUACCCUAAUUAUUAGCAAAGUAAAGACUUAAACCAUAAAAUCAAUUUUUAAAAGGGUAUUAAAGUAAAUAAAUUGCCUUGUUAGAUUUGGUCAUUCUAAUUAUUUUUACCACACUCACCCUUUUUUUACCCUUUGGAAAGCUUGCUCGCUAACCAAUCAGAGUCUAAACUUGCCUUUUUUUUUACUUAAAAAUAAAAUCCAUGGCUAAGUUUCUAAUGAAAUCAAUAAAUUUUAACAAAUGAAAAAUUUGUAUAAACAUUUUGAAUGUUAUUUGCCAUAGCAUUUUGAACGUUAUUUUUUCCUUGUUAAGACAAAUGAAAUGCAAUUGUACAAUUAGAAUGAAUAAUUAUUUAAGAAUAAAAUAUAUGAACUGUGCUAAUAUCUAAUUUCGCAUGAACAUUUACUUAUUCUACGUUAUAUCUUUCUAGUUGAACUUUUAUUUCUUUUUGUGAAUUUGAAUUGAAUAAUGUGAGGCGUAUUAUUGAAUUUGGAAUAUUUACAUUUUUUAAGUGUUAUUGAGGUUUGAGGUUAAUAAAGAAUGUAAAUGAUCUAUAUUGCUUAAUUAUCUUAGAUUGUCUACUUAGUUGUCAAUUGACAUUCAAUUGAUAGAAAUAGUGGGGUUCUUUUAUUUGUUCUUUUCUCUUAGUAUUUCUUCAUACCGAUAAAAAGCACAUAAUUAUAUAUCUGUCACACGAUAUUCAUAUCAAGAUUCUUCAAAUGAAUAUGGACUCUUUUCUUCUUAUAUAUUUCUCUUUUGUUCCAAGAGCACCUAUUUUUUUAUACUAAUAUUUUUUACGAUAUCAAAAUUGUGGCUAAUGCAAUUGGUCACAUAAUUUCAAGUAAGAAAUUGUUUUGGAUAAGAAACUUAGACACAUAUAAGAAUUGAAGAUGGAGUACAAGGGUCGCUAAAUAGUUUUAAUAGGGAGUUUUUUCAUUUUAAUUACCAUUAUUAUUGAGGUUUAAUCAUUUGAAAUGUUUCGUAUUUUUAAUUACUACCAAAAUUAAAAUGUAAUAACUCUAAUUGAAAGAUGAGGGUGAAAUGGGUACAAUAAAAACUAAGAUAAAAAAGUGCUGAUAACAUAUGAUGCCAAUAGUCAUCGAACUUUUAAUAUAGUAAUAGAUAAUAGAUUGGUCCAUGGAGUCACUAUCCAAAAUCUGCUCUCUUAUCAGGUAAGUUGAUUAAGGUUUUGGAUUUUGGAGGUGCGAAUUUAACGAAAUCCCAAAUGAAGGAGAACAAAUAGUUAAAAACAAUCCCAAAUGCAUUUGCGAGCUUCGGAAUUUUAGAAUAUCUAGAUAUGGGUGAUACUAUUGCCAGGGGGUCACCAAUGCAAAUCCCUUUUUAACUAGAUUAUUUAAAUCCUGAUAAUGGGUGUUACUCAUUAAAGUUCCAUCAGAAUUAAGAGGGCUUCUUUCCUUGCUAAAGUUACAAACCAUAAUUGUUUCAACUGUCCAUGAUUAUUUUCUUCUUUAUGUUGGGGCAACACAGAAAUUGAACUGGAUUUUUUGAAUCACGGAUUAGUUUUAUUUUUGAAUUAAGUUGCUUCAAAUUCCUGUUGGUCCUCACUUACAAUAAUGUUCUUUCUGGUGAAAAUGAAAAUUUAUGCGUAUGAAAUAUCAUAUGUAACAAUACUUGGCACCAGGUAUAAGCAAUGUCACGCUGACACAGAAUAACAGAGAUUAAUUGAGAAAGUGUAUUCUUUCCUUCGAAAGCAGUCAAAGAGGAUAACAGAAGAGUUGAAGUAAGAAUAUUCUGGAUACGAAGAAUGAAGCCAUCUUUAUUUAUCUUAUUAUUGACACCAAAAGUGGUGCUUCAACCUUAAAUGAUACUAAUUUGCAGAAUUGAAGAAAGAAUAUAACAUUUCAAGUUGAUUCCAUCUACCCUACGGAAUAAAUUAUUGCAAGAAGAAGGUAAAUUCUUGGCCAACAUUUACUGGAGGAGUUAUUAAUUACACAAAGUUAGCCUGAUUUUCUGUAAGAAGAAAAAUUCUUGAUUUGUAUGAAGUAGAUUCUCUCCCUUUAAUUCCAAUAUAUAUAUAUUUUUGGUUAGCCUGAUUCAUUGCAAACUUGUCUUGCGGCAAAUGUUGUAAGACGAAAUAACAAUGCUGAAAAGACACAAAAGACAAAUAACAAUGUUGCUACUGAAUUUGUUUCCUCAUACUUUUGUAGUACAAUAUAGAAAGGCAUGUUUCCUCAAUGAGAAUGUGUAUUUGAGAGCCUUUGAAGAUGAUAUAGCUAAGACUUAACGUAAGAAUAGAACGGACGAAGAAUAAAGCCAUGUUUGUUAAUCUCUAGUAAAUUGGAGAAAUUACAAGGUAUCUCCAGUAAAUACCCUGAGAUGACUGGUUUGGAUUGUCAAGUUCUUAUAUACCAAGAAAUAGUUUUCAAGAUCAGCAAGUUGGUAUGAAUCUUUAAGUGGCAGUUGAAAAACUUUUACUGAAAUAGAGCAUGCUGCUGGAGAAAACUUUAGACACAGACACAUAAAGGUUUGGAUCAUGGAGUCACUAGUUAAAAACCUUCUUAUCUGUUCUCUUCUUCGGUAAGUUGGAUUAGUGUUAUAAUUUUGGAGGUGUGAAUUUAUAGCAAUUCCAAUCUGAUCUCUCUGGAACAGUUCAUAAAAUUACUGGUUUGGAUUGUCAAGUUUUCCUUAUAUGCCCAGAAAAUUUUAUCAAGAUCAGCAAACUGGUACAAAACUUUUUAGUGGCCCUGAAGAAACUAUAACUAUAACUUUUGAGUGAAAACACACUGUAUACACACACGUAUGGGUAUUGGUCCAUGGAGUCAGUAUCCAAAAUCUGUUCUCUUAUCAGGUAAGUUAAUCAAGGUUUUGGAUUUUGGAGGUGCGAAUUUAACGAAAUCCCAAAUGAAGGAGAAUGAAAGUUAAAAACAAUCCCAGAUGCAUUUGAGAGCUUCAGAAUUUAGAAUAUCUAGAUAUGGGUGAUACUAUUGCCAGGGGGUUACCAAUGCAAAUCCCUUUUUAACUAGAUUAUUUAAAUCCUGAUAAUGCGUGUUACUCAUUAAAGUUCCAUCAGAAUUAAGAGGGCUUCUUUCCUUGCUAAAGUUACAAACCAUAAAUGUUUCAACAGUCCAUGAUUAUUUUCUUCUUUAUGUUGGGGCAACACAGAAAUUGAACUGGAUUUUUUGAAUCACGGAUUAGUUUUUAUUUUUGCAUUAAGUUGCUUCAAAUUCCUGUUGGUCCUCACUUACAAUAAUUAAUGUUCUUUCUGUUGAAAAUGAAAAUUUAUGCAUAUGAAAUAUCAUAUGCAACAAUACUUGGCACCAGGUAUAACCAAUGUCACGCUGACACAGAAUAACAGAGAUUAAUUGAGAAAGUGUUUUCUUUCCUUCGAAAGCUGUCAAAGAGGAUAACAGAAGAGUUGAAGUAAGAAUAAUAUUCUAGAUACGAAGAAUGAAGCCAUCUUUAUUUAUCUUAUUAUUGACACCAAAAGUGGUGCUUCAACCUUAAAUGAUGCUCAUUUGUAGUAUUGAAGAAAGAAUAUUUGGAUAGAGAAUUAUUUCAAAUAAUUAUUUGGAAUAAUUACUGUAGCACUUUUUGUGAUGUGAUAUAUGUAAGAUAAAAAUAUGAUUGGAAAUAUAAAAAGGUGGAUUGAGAAAUGUGUUUAUGAUGGAAGCGAAAAAUUUUUGAAGAAAAAUUUGCUAUCCAAACAACAUUUCAAGUUGAUUCUAUCUACCCUACGGAAUAAAUUAUUGCAGGAAGAAGGUAAAUCAUGAAUAAUUCUUGGCCAACAUUAACUGGAGGGGUUAUUAAUAACACACAGUUGGCCUGAUUUUCUGUAAGAAGAAAAAUUCUUGCUUUAUGGGUCCGUUUGUUUCGGGUGAAAAUAUUUUCCUAAUUUCCCGUGUUUGGUUACACAAAAGUUACUGAAAACAUUUUCCUAUGUAAAAUAUUUUCACCCAUCUUAUGGAAAACAACUUCCCUUCCAAAUUUACUGAAGUUGUUUUCCGAAAUGCAUGCAUUCCGCCUGUAGUAUGUUCCAAACUUACUGAAAACAUCUUGUAGUAUGUUCUUUUUUUUUUAGUGUAAACAGGAGGACUCGAACCCAAGACCUCUUCCUUACACUCCCUCCCCCGUACCACCCAACCCAACCCUCCCCUAGUAUAUUCAAAAUUAAAAAAAAAAAACCUCAUCCUGCUCAUCCUAUGCUAGUAAUUAAUAAUGUAUAAUAGGGACAUUCUUUUUUAGAGAAACUUUCAACAGUGAGAGUGCAAGAUAUAUGUCACAAUAUGCAUUGCAUGUGAUUGAUAUUUGACACUAAAUGGCCAGCAAUUUGUUUAUUGCUUGAGGAGAUAUUUUUUAUUCAUAUAUACAUUUCUCCAAGAUUUUUUAAAGUUAAACAAUGAGAUAAAUUUUCUUAUUUUGCAUGGAAAGAAGUAUGUAAUUAUAAUGUGUAGAAAGUAAAGAUAGAGAUAAAAGUGAAAAUAUUUCAAAAGUUAAACAAACACCAGAAAAAUGAAGUAAGAAAAUAUUUUCAAUAAACUAACCAAACACCUGAAAAUGAUGAAAGGGAAAUGAUUUUCAUGGAAAAUUACUUCCACGAAAAUAUUUUUCCAAAGAAAACAUUUUACUUCCAACCAAACAGACCCUAUAUGAAAUAGAUUCUCUCCCUUUAAUUCCAAUAUAUAUAUUUUUUUGGUUAGCCUGAUUCAUUGCAAACUUGUCUUGCGGCAAAUGUUGUAAGACGAAAUAACAAUGCUGAAAAGACACAAAAGACAAAUAACAAUGUUGCUACUGAAUUUGUUUCCUCAUACUUUUGUAGUACAAUAUAGAAAGGCAUGUUUCCUCAAUGAGAAUGUGUAUUUGAGAGCCUUUGAAGAUGAUAUAGCUAAGACUUAACGUAAGAAUAGAAUGGACGAAGAAUAAAGGCUGAUUUGUUCAUCUCUUUUCUUACUCGUAAGGCUGAUUUAUUCCUAAAGUGGCGCUUCAGCUCUCACCUAAAGUGAUACUAAUUUCCGGAAGUGAAGAAAGAAUAAAUCAUUUCAACUUUCUUUCUACAAAUUCCAAACCAUGAGGAACAAGGAAGGUAGAAAAAGAGCAUUACUUCCAAUUGAAUCAACCUGAUCGCCGGCCAAGGUCUUCCUUUCUAUAUAAUAAAUCCUUCUCAGGCACCAAAAAAUAUAUGAAGUUAAAACCAUUCUUCUACUCAUAACCAUAUAAAAAGAAGCAAAACCCUGCCUCCUCCUUCUUUUUCUUGAAAAAAAAAGUAAAAAAAAAAAUUAUAAAAUGGCAGAAACUGUUGUCCCUUUAGUUUCAAAUCGUCUCGCAACCUUACUCCGAGAGGAGGGAAGCCUGUUGGGAGGGCUUCGAGAAGAGGUCCAAUUCAUCAUGGAUGAGUUGGGGCAGAUGAGAGCUUUCCUCAAAGUGGCUGAACCAAAAGAAGAUGAUGAGCCCAGGUAUAGGUGGCAAACCAAUUCACUUAAUUAAAUUUACUCAUAUUCGUCUAUGAAUAAUGGGUACGGGUAUUUUAAAUUUUUUUAUAUUAUUAGAUAACCCAUUAAAUUCAAUUAAUUCAUUUAGAAUUCUCUUUUCCCACCCAUUUUUUUUUUUUAGAUUUUUCAUUUUGUCACGAUGUUAACUAUUUUUGUUUCAUUAUUAUUAUUAUUUGUUGGUUUAUCUUAUUAUUUUAUUUUCUCUUAGUUUGUUUACUUACUCAUUUUUCAGCAUUACUAAUUUAUGAUAAGUUUUAGCUUCUUUUCUUAUCUUACUACAAUGAAAAUUUAAAUUUACAUAUGAAAAAAAUGUUAGGGGUUCAAAAUUUUUGGAUUAAGUUUUUAUAUUAAUUUUUAUAGUAUUUAGUUCAAAUUUUUAUAUUCUUAUUAUUCAAUUAUUAAAUAAUAUGUAAUUUUGCGACAUAGAGUGUCAAUGGAAAAAAAAUUGGUAAUUAGACUUAUUGAGCAUUAUAAGUAAAUAUUUAAAACUAAUGAUGGGUAUAAAGAGCGGUAUAAAUUGAUAACUUAUUUUGCAAAAAAGAAUUUUAAUGAGUUUCCAAAAAGUUAAAAUAAAUGGGUUAUAAAUGGAUAAUUGGGUUAUCCAAUUCAUUUCUUGACUUACCCAUUUAUACAUAUCUAAUAAAAUGGGUAUAAAUGGAUUGACUCACUUAUACCCAUUACCCAUUUUACCCUAUCUAAAUCCGCUCAAGUCACUCAUUUUGACACCUCUAAUCCCAGGCUCGAAGAAUGGAUCAAGCAAGUGCGCAAAGCUGCUUAUGACAUUGAAGAUGUUCUCGAUGAAUUUGUACUUCGCUUUGCUGGCCACAGACAUCAUGGAUUCUGUGGCUCCCUGCAGAGAAUUCUCAAAGCCAUUAAGAGCUUGCCAGCUCGUCAUCAGGUUGCCAGUGAAAUUCAAAGCAUCAAGUCCAGGAUAAAAAAUAUUUCAGAACGAUGUCAGAGAUACCAAGUUGAAUUUGGCAUCGAUCACCGUGUCACUGGAUCUUCAACCAUGAAAGGCUCGCGGCUCUAUAGCAGGGAUGAUGCACUUCUAGUGGAGGAAGCAAAAUUGGUUGGCAUUGACCAGCCCAAACAACAUCUGAUUUCUAUGCUUCUCGAGGGGCACGAUUACCAACUCAAAGUUAUUUCAGUGGUUGGUAUGGCUGGACUAGGGAAAACUACCCUAGUCAAAAAGGUCCAUGAAGAUCCAAAAGUUAGAAAGAAUUUUCCAGUUCGUGCAUGGGUAACCGUCUCUCAAACAUGCGACUUUCCAAAGCUCCUGAGAGACUUGAUUCGGAAGUUGCACAAGGACUUGGACAAAUCAGUCCCACAAUCGAUCGAGUCCAUGACUACCGCUGAGCUGAAAGAAAUUGUCAAAGAUUUUCUUCAACAAGCUGGAAGGUAUGCAAUUGUGUUUGAUGACGUGUGGGACGUGGAAUUUUGGAAUAAAAUCAAAUUUGCACUGCCUGAGGGUAACUACGGCAAUCGUGUCAUGCUAACAACACGAAAUGCCGAUGUAGCCUCUACCUCUUGUACAGAAUCUCAGGAUUAUGUCUACAGAAUGAAGCCACUAUCAAAUGAAGAUUCGUGGACCCUAUUUUGUAACAAGAUCUUUAAAGGAAAUCGUUGCCCCACCCACCUGAUGAAUGUUGCAAAAGCUGUAUUGGAUAAAUGUGACGGUUUGCCUUUGGCGAUUCUUGCGAUCGGUGGGCUCUUGGCUUCGAAGGACGUGAGCAGAAUAGAUGAAUGGGAGAUGAUUCAACACAAUCUUGGGGGUAAGCUAGAGAGAGUUAAAAGAAUACUUUCUCUGAGUUACAACGAUCUGCCUUCGCAUCUCAAACCCUGUCUGUUGUAUUUAAGCAUUUAUCCGGAGGAUCAUCUAAUAGCAUGCCAGAGGCUGAUUCAAUUAUGGAUUGCUGAAAGAUUUGUAGAAUGGAGAGAAGGAAUGAGUAUUGAAGAUGUAGCCUGGGGCUAUCUCAGUGAACUCAUCAGUAGAAGCCUAAUUCAAGUAACUGAAGUGUUUUAUGAAGGAUCACCCAACACGUGUCGAAUCCAUGACUUAAUGAGAGAAGUUAUUCUCAUCAAGUCAAGGGAACAAAACAUGGUCACAGUUACUACUGGACAACCAAUGACGUGGCCAUCUGAGAAGGUACGCCGUCUAGCAAUCCAUAGUAGUUGCAACAGCAGCAUCAUCCAAUACCACCAACAAAGACAAUUUUAUUCUUUUGAACACCUUCGAUCAUUCAUCGCAGUUAGUUCCACCAACCCAUUGCUAUCCAAAACUUUCCUAUCUGAAGUUCUAAGGAGUAGUAAGUUGCUAAAGGUUUUGGAAUUGCGAGGUGAAGAGAUAGAGGAAACACCAAAUGAGGUUUUCGACUUGUUGCAUCUCACGUUUCUGAGCCUAUAUGGUACAAAAGUGGCAAGAGUCCCGAGAGCUAUUGGAAAGCUUCAACAUUUGGAACAUCUGAAUUUGGGGAACACUGGAGUUAGGGAAUUACCCGUGGAAAUCCUAAAGCUGCAAAAGCUUCGGCAUCUCACAGUAUUCCAACGAGUUGAUCCCUCAGAUAGUGAUUAUGGAUUUCAUGGGUUUAAAGGUCCGUCAAAAUUGGGAGGGCUUCUCGCUCUACAAACAUUAAACACCGUAGAUGCAAGCAGCGGGUCUGUAAUAGUUAAAGAGAUAGGAAAAUUGACCCAAUUAAGAGAGUUAUAUAUUACACAGUUGAGAAGAGAAGAUGGAAAGGAGCUCUGCUCCUCCCUUGUCAACCUCACCAGCCUUCGGGAAUUAAGCAUUGAAUCAAUUGGAAAAGGUGAUGAUUCUGAGAUAAUAGAUCUAAAUCAUCAUCAACAUUCUCUUUCUUCUUCUUCUUCUUGUUCGUUUCUUCAAUCUCUUCGUAUGCUAAUUAUGUGUGGCCGCUUAGAAACGAUGCCAGUGUGGAUAACUCAUCUUCAAAACUUGGUAAAAAUACUUAUGAUCUGGAGCGGGUUAAGGGCUGAGGAAGAUCCACUUGAAUCCCUCCAACAUUUGCCCAAUUUGGGUGAAAUUGGUUUCUGUGGAUCUUACCAGGGAGAAAGGUUGAGUUUCAAGGCUGGAGGCUUCCUAAAGCUGAAACAAUUGUGGUUAAGGAGAAUGGAAGGGUUGAGAUGGAUGACAGUGGAGGAGGGUGCAUGCCCUUAUCUCCAAAGACUACAUCUGAGACAGCUUCCAUCACUAGAGGACUUACCUUCGGGAAUUCAGCACUUGAGCCAUCUUCAACGGCUGUCUUUGUAUGAGAUGAGUUCUCGACUGAUAGAGAAGGUGGGGAAUCAGAAGGAAGACAGGGAAGAUUACAGAAGAAUGGCACACAUUCCUGAAAUUGUCAUUGGUUUCUAUGCCGAUGAUGGGGAAUGGAGAAUCCGCCGGCUAUGGGGGAAGAAGAAGAAAACAUUCCUUGCCUAGCACUAGCAGCAUCCUGUGGCUUUCCUUUCUCAUUGUUUGCUUUCCCUCCCUGUUGUUGACGAUCCUGCUCUCUCUUGUUCUUCUAUUUUUCUGAGAAGUUUCUGAUGUUUUCUAUCUUCUCCACUACGCGUAGUAUGGUGCAUUGCAUCAUCAUCUUGUUCAUAUGCUGCAUUUUUUUAAUGUAUUUUUUUAACUGUUUUUCUUGAAUUUUAACUUCCCCAAAUAAGCGCUUGUGAGAUCAUGAGAUUGCAAUGGCUAUAGCAUUGUGCGAAAUUUGAGAAUGACAAUCUUCUUUUUACUCUUCAAUUUUAGAUAACAAAAGGGUCUGACCCCAAUUUUGAUUUAUUUCUAAAAAUUUCUCUAGAUUUGCCAAUUUUUUAGGAGCAUAAAAAUGGGAUUUGAGAAGCUCCUCAACUUCUAGCUGCAUAUGUAAGAGAAAAAAAAUACUAAACAAAUAAAGGGUGACUCACCAAAGAGUUGAAGGCCAAAAUGCAAAUCCAUCCAUCAUACUACACGAAUAACUUGCCACGAAAUCAUGGUGUUUAUUUCUCAAUCCAAAAAUAUGUAGUUCUUUGCCUUCUACUAAGGGCCUGUUGCGAGUUACAAUAACUUAUUAAAAAAUAAUUUUUUAAUAGAGUUUUUAAUAAAAAUACUUAUUAAGUAUUUAAAUACUUUAAAAUAUAUUAUUUGGAGAUAUAGUUCAAUAAAUACUUAUUGUAUUGGAUAAUAUGUAAUUUAAAAAAUUUUAAAUAUAUUUAUCUCUUUAUUUAGUUCAUAAUAUAGGAUAAAAUAAUUAAAUUCAAUGUUUUAUUUUUUAAAUCACAAAAGCUACUAUAAAAGUACCAAAUUUAAUCUUUUGCUAAAAGUGUUUUUAACACAAAAAUUUUUACUCCAAAUUUUAUGGGAUGAUAUUCACCAAACAUUAGCUUUCUAGAUCCAUUUUUCCAAACCAGAUAGAGAAAAAUAAAAAAUGCAUCAGAUUUUCCUUGAAAAUCUAAAUACUCUAUAUGAUGAUCAAAUAGCUAAAUAUCCUUCUAUUUCUGUCCUAAAAUGUGAUACUAGUAACCAAAAAUUAAAUGGCAUUCUCGUCAUUUUGCCCUCAACGAAAGCUAUCCUCUUUCUCUGGAAUGCCUAGAACCCCUGCACCCUUUCUUUCUCUGGAAGCUCUAACUAGUUCAUUUUGUAAGCAACAUAACUGAUUCACCACCAAUGGGUAUUUUUUCAUGGUUCAAGGGAACCAAAAACGAUACCAACUCCAAACCGGCGACCCAAAAAUCCGAACCGGUGAAAACCCAAUCCACUUCUGAAGUUCCCGGCAUGAACGGAGCAGUGGAGGUCCGGCGGCCUGGCCCACCACCAGCUGAGAUCACCGUUUUCGAAUUCGGUUCCAUUGCCGCUUCUGCCAAUAAGGUCACCCUCGCCGGCUUCUGCCCUGUUUCUGACGAGCUCGAACCUUGCCGCUGGGAGAUUCUGCCGGCUCAAGGCUCCGACGCCCCUCAAUUUCGCGUAGUCUUUUGACGGAAAAAUAGUUGGCGAAAAAGAAAGGGAGAAUUUUCAGCUUAGCUUUUGAGGAAAUGGUGAGGAGGAGUAAAAUCCCAAUCCUGAGUAGAGUUUCUUCAGUUCAUAUGGGGUUUUUUCUAUAUUAAAAAAACAAAAAAGCUUGUAUCUUUUUUCCUCUUUCAUUUUUGAAGUUUCUCUGUAAUUUAGCUCUGUUUGGCACUUUGAUUAGAAUAUGAUAAAGACCUUUACUGCACUCGUUUUUCCCUUUUUUUUGGUUGGGUCCAAAUUUGGGUACUAUUGGCUUGAAAACAUGAGGAGGAAGAGGAAAGAAGUAAAUUUGUUGUGAUAGAUUGGUUAUUGCGUUGUUGGAUGAUAGAUGCACAUUGUCUUCUGUUUCCUGCAAUUUGCUGUAGAAUUAUUAUGGAAAAGGGCGCCCUUGAAGCUCUAAUCAAUAAAGGGUUCAGGUUUUUAGGCCAAAUGUGAAGGGCAUUUGGACUGACGUUUGUACAAAAUGUACCAGUAUGUGUACACGAAAAUACAUUUCACGCGUGAAGGCCUUCUAUAGAUUGCCGAACAUUGUGCUUUCUUUAUCAAAUAAGGUUCCAAGCAUGCCCUGUUCUUGAAAUUUUGCCUGUUAUUAACUGGACUUGAUAGAGUGGAGAAGCUGUAGAUUUGUUGGAGUCCUUUUAUCUUGUUUUACAAGGUAAGAACUCAGCUUUUCUUUGCUUAAGAGUGUUUCAAGGAAGGAUGAGAUGGCGUGAGGGCUUUUAUACUCUCUGUCUAGUAGUUUAGAUCUGCUCUGUGUUUGUGUCUGUGAUUGCACUGGCAGGGUUGCGAGGGGGGUGGAGGAUGGGGAGUGUAUGUGUUCAUAUAUUGUGUAUGUAACUAUAUAACUAUGUAUAUGUCAAUAAGGAUGAGCUUAUAUGAAUUGGUGUACCAUGUAGAGCAUAUACCAAGUUAUGUUGAAAUAUAUGUGGGCAGCGAAAGAUUUGAGCCUAAACUCUUCAUGCUUUUUAAGCUGCUUUUGCAUUUGCUUGGUUUGUUUGUCAAAUAAAAUUGAAGCAAUUGCAUGCAUUUUUUACGUUUGACUCUAUGAUUUGGAUUCUAUAUUGUGAGGGAAGGGAGACUUUAGAAGCUUUUGGUUAAUGGUAAGUACCAAGUAGAAGUUUUCAAGGACUGAUUUGAAAAGUAGAAUGGAUGAAAACACUACAUGUUUGCCAGCUAUUAAGGAAAAAAAAAAAGGCAUAGAGGGUGUGUAGUUGCCUGUUUCUUUGGAAAAUUCAGCUAUGGAACAACGCAUAGAGGGCGUGAUAAUUACAACAUUAAGUUUUCAGAUUUUAUUUGGUUUGUCAAUCAUGUUUUGUCCCCUUCUUCUUCUUCUUCUUCUUUCUUUGGCAAAGUUAUGAUUGCAAGUGUUUAUUGGAUUGCUUAAUGACGAAUGAACCAUUGUUAUCACAGAAAAGAACUACAAGGGCAAUAUUGCUAGGUUUCACCAUAUGGUGGAAUGUGAUGAAAAGUAUGUACUUUCCGCCAUAAUGAGGAAAAAGUAGUCCAAUUUUUUUUUUUUUAAUGAUAGCGGGAAUGCAGCUGUUUUACUUUUUGUGGUUAAAGUGGAUUAAAUGGCAUUUGCGCCUACAAAUUCAUAGUUCAAAUUUGCUGCAACUGAUUGUAGAUACUUUAAAACAUUAUCGUGACAAAAAGUGUAGGCUCAUGAAGAUAUGCAGUGUUUGCUAUCUUCUUGGUGUCAUUGUAGUUACAUGAUGGUUCAUGAAGAUAUGUAUUCUCAAUAUUCAGCUAAACUUGGUUGAAACAGAAAAAAGAAUAAGGAUAAAUAGGACACAGUUCAAUUCUUAUUUGUUAAUGGUAGAUGGAUCUUUUUGAAAGUUUUCCAUGCUUUGUCUUGGCUCCCAAUGAGCACUGAUGUGUUUGUAAUACAACAUUCUGGUCAACUUCUGUUCUAUGGUUACAAAUUGCCUGCCUUCAGGAGUAUCUCUGAUAUUAUGGCUUGUUCCUCCAGAAACUUAAGAGGAAGCUUGAACAGUAGGCAAUAUCUUGACUGUUUAGGUAUGUACAUUUGACACUGACAGCAAGUGUGGUGUCUGAUGCGGUAUAUGACCUUAAUGGCGAGAUUGUUUAAUGUGCAACUCAGGUAUUCAUUCACUGAAAAAGUAACCACUCUUGUAUUUACAAAGCACAAAAUGAGAGGCAAUGCUCAGCAAUCAAGAAAAAGGCAACUUCUACGUUUUCCGCACAAUGGAAAAGUCUGAAAUUUUUAAAGAGAGUCGCGUUCAAAGGAUGCUAUAACCAUCAUCUUCGCUCGUUCCAAUGAAACACACGAUUGCUAGAACAAAUGUGAAAAAGGAUGAGAGCUCCAUUGCCAUUGCCCCCCACCCAAUUACUCCAGCAUGCUUUAAGAUGAUUGGUAUUGCUAUGCUACCAACAGCCGAAGCCCCGGUUAAGAAUUUGGUCACAUCUGCCCAGCUGUUGCCACAUUGUUCAUGAAAACCAAUUAAGGCCAAAAAAUCUAUAUAAAUAAACUUGAAUAAAAGCAUCUCGUCAGAGAAACAGUGCGGAAGGAAAAAAAAAAAAAACCUUACCCACUUUGAGAUUCAGAGAAGAGAGAUGAAGUAUCCGAGCCAGCCAAAAAAAUUAAGGGCAUAGGUAGAACCACAUACAUUAUUACUGCAAGCAGACAAUGCAAUCUAAGUCCUCCGGAAUUCCUCCUCGCAUGAAAAUGUUAGAUCGAAUUCCUCUGAGCAUGGACAAACUUACAAAACUCUUUAGGAGGGACCAAACAAUUAAAUUAGCUUUGCGCCAUCAUCAAUCGUCUUUAGUCUGACUGGACUAUGAAAAAGUUUCAAAAGGUUUUCGGAGACUAUAACUAGUUUCUCCUUUAUUGUGGGGCAACACAGAAAAUCGAACCGGAUUAGUUUUAUUUCUGAAUUGAGUUGCUUGCAGUUUCUGGUCAAAUGAAGAUAUAGCAUAUCAAAGAUCAUAAGCAACAUUACUAACAAAAAAAAAAAAGCAUUACUCUGGCUUCAAUGUUUGAGUUGUUAAGAGGUCUUUGUCAACUGUUCGUGUGGUCUGUCCAAUGAUGGGUUGUUAAGAGGUCUUGCUAUAAAAUGUAAAUGCAUCAUGCAAUAAGUUCAGGGCAUUAUUGUGCAGAUUGAAGGAUGAAAUGAACGAAACACUGGGGCAGGGGAGGGCUCUUAUAAUACUUCCCACUGCCAGGUUUAGGCUUCAAAUUUUGGGCUUGACAAUUAGAGGUGGGAAGGGUGAAGGGAUGGGUAAAAACAAAAAAAAAAAAAAGAAGAAGAAUAAGUUGAACUAUGCGAUGGUUUGUAUGAGUGCUGAUCUUACUCAAUUUUAAGUGUGCUAAAACUACUUAAUUGAGUCCGUUGCAGAAUGCAUAAAUUGUCGUGAAUAUACUUAAUCUGUGUGGAAACUGUUUAUAUACUUUUUUUUAAUUUCUGUUUUUUUUUUUCUGUGGAUAUAAUGCCUUGAAGGUACAAGCUAAGUGAUAGUAUGGAUGCACAUAAUGUGAAUGAAUGUAACUGGAAGCUAGAAGCACCAAUAAAUGAAGCAAUGACACAAGAUGCUGUUAGAUAUUAGAUACUAAGAUACAGGUCAACAUACUCCCUUAAACAGUUACAUGCAAUAUCAUAGAAAGUAUUUAGAUGAAGCUUUAAAAUGCUGUUAGAUAGUAUUUUGAAUGGGGUUUUUUUGAAGAAUGAUUUUGAUAUGAAACUACAUUGAACUGUAACUGGACUCUCUCUCAGAUAUACGGAGACCUUGUAAGCUUAGUCUUAGUUGUGAGUGUCAGUUGUAGUGCAAGGAGCCAAAAACUAAUGCGUCACAUGGAUUUAGUGGAUGUCUGCAUUCAGGAAUGAUUUUCAUAUGGAAAAUACAUUUUAUAGAGUAAGAUGAUAUGCAUAACUUUUAGUGACUCUUGUUGAGUUAAUUGCCAGUGUUGUGUUGGUGUAAGAGCCAUUUGUUAUUGAGUCAGACAGAGUGCCAAUAAGCAUCUUUCACUCACCGGAGUAAAUACAAGGUCGCGAAGGUUCGCUUGUGUCUCCUGAUGAAAUCGAUUUAGGCUCGCUUGUGUCUCCUGAUGAAAUCGAUUUGUAUUAGCAAUUAGUAAUCCCAUCAUUUCUUCAAGAGACAUACCUGACACGGAGGAUGAUUGCUGAGACUCUUGCUGUUGAAAAUCCCUUAGGCCCGUCGCAUAAUCAAAAUUGGAAUUAUCCCACCAUCCUUGAUCAUACCCGUUGGAAUAAGGGUCAUACUGUGUUUGAUAUUGGGGUGAAAAAUCUCCAAAAGUAUCAAUUGGAGCACUUAGAUUAUCUUGAAAUGCGGGGCAUGUGUCAGUUGAAUAACCUGAGCCAAAAUAAGUUUCACAAUUUGCAACAGCCCAUUGAUCAUUAGGAAAAGGGUAAAAUACAAAAAACCCCCUUGUGGUUUCACGAAAAGACACCUUACUCCCCUAUCGUUUAGAAACAUACACAUAAACACCUUAAACUUCAUUACUAAAGUGGAAAUUGACCUUUAACCGGAUGUGCAGGUCGAAUAUCAGGUAACAAGGCAGGCUGAAAACUGGACCUGUGAACAUCUCCUAGGAUCCAAUUGAGGAUCAUUAAAGACCCUCGCUUCCUGCAGAACAGCACCCUUCUCGAUCCCCAUGAAUGGAGAGUAAUCCACUACAGAUUAAAGAAUCGAAAUUACAACAUCGGAUUUCAUUGACUGCUACACUCAGGCAAGGUUCAAACAAAUUCCAAAGGCUAAAGCAGAUCUGAGCCAAAGUUAACCGAUCUCUUCGAAAUUAAUGUAGUGAAGAACUAACCCAGGGCUACAAAUACAAAUAGUUAAUAAAUCCGCAGGACCAGUAUUUCAACUUCUGCUAAUUCCUUUUUUUUUUUUUGUCUUUUUGCUUUUUAAGUGGGCACAGGUUUUGGAUAAAGUGUUUGAUCCGUGUGUCUUCUGGUUUUUAAAAAUUUACAACUUCCAGAUGGAAUUUCAUUGACUAAAUUUGCUUGCCAUAUAUGGAAAUUGAACUGGUUAUGUAUUUUAGCAAUUUUUCACCAGAGGAUCCAUUCAAUGACAGACAUGGUAAAGCUAGAACUCAACUCUCCCGUUUCUGAACAAUGAAAGGUAUGUUUUCACUACUAAAGGUCGUCUCAUGUUGCAGAGUGUUCUGAAGGAUAUUCAAACUCAGAAUAAAAAAUUUGGAUGGAAAAUCUUGCGAUACCAUAUUCCCUCUUUCAUCAAUGUUGUUCCUACAGACCUGAAGCAUUGGGUAUCUGUUUUAACAAGCCUCACUGCACUUUCUUCUCCUCAGAUUCGAAGUCCGUAACAGCUGCAAUCUCUUAUUUUCAAUCUUCUCAAGCUUGGCAAACAUUUCUUUUUGACAUCUGCAUUCACGUGAUUAUCAGCACCAAUUUUCCUGACAAAGCUCGUUUCUUGUCAAUCUGUAUGGCAGAUCUGAUUCAUAGCAAAUUUGCUUUGGUGGUGUCGCAUGCUGCUGAUACCAUUGCAAGACUGGAGAAAGAAGGAGUGUUGCGGAUCUCUUCGCUUCUGCCUUCUCUCUCUUCUGUAUGCUUAUAUCGGGUGGGAGAGUGAAGUCGAAUCGCAGAUAUCUCUUUGGUCGACGUUGUACAAAUUAGUUUCCCUGGACAGUAACUUUUUUCUUUUUUGUGAAGGAAUUGGACAGCCUGCCAGGGUAUUUGACCUUCUGCCGGUAACUAAGCCGGUUCAAAAGGUAAUUUCCACUUUAGUUAUGAAGUUUAUGGUGUUUAUGUGCAGGUUUCUAAACGAUAAGGGGGUGAGGUGUCUUUUCGCGAAACCACAAGGGGGUUCCUUGUAUUUUACCCUUAGGAAAAACAUGAGUCCCAUAACCCCAUUCAGGAACAAAGUCCAGUCUAUCAUCAAAAUAUGGAAUGUUAGCGGCCAUAAAAAAAAUAAAAAAAAUAAGAGAAAAAUAAAAUAAAAUAAAAGAAUAAAAUAAAAACAAGAUGAACUCAAAAAGAAACAAAUUAAUCUGACACCAGUCCCCGGCAACGGCGCCAAAAAUUGACAGGUUGUCGAAGCCUGUGCAAUAAUAAAACCUGCUCAAACUAAAAGUGAUUUCUGUAGAUAGCGGUGAGCAGGGUCGAAUUCACAGGGACUGGGAGUAAUUAUUUCUUUUCAAGUUCACAGUGACAAGGGAGGUGUUUUUGUGCAGAAGGUGACAAUCAAAGAAAUUCAACUAAAAUCUAAGAAACUACUAAAAAUUAAAUAACAAAUUACUAAAAUCUAAUGAGUGAUAAUUAAGGAUCUAGCCAAGGAAUAACUUCAGCAAUGGUUCACCUAAUUGAUCAUUGAAGCAAAGGCAAUUCCAAUUAUUCAUCAAUAAAUAGGUUAUAACUACCAAACAAGCGAUGGCAGUCAACCCCUCCUUACUGUGUCGGUGAUCAAGGUACGCCCGUUAAUCACUGCUCUAAUUGAGAAAUAAUCCUAAGUACGCCCGUAGAAUUUAAUUCCCCAACUGACUUACGUAUCAGAGGAGCCCUAUUCUAAUCAAAUAACACAGUACCAGGGUUUUUUUAGAUUAGCCCGUGUAUCCCCCUGACACGAACCUAAUCAUGCCAGUUGUCACUAUUUUAGAGCAAUUAAACAAUUACGGAUUUAAUGCCCUAAUUGACAAUAGAUUACCCAAUCAACUAAUUAUCUGGAUCCAAAACAAUCAAUUAAUUAAAUAACCAUAAGUAUAGCAAUCAAGAAAUAUGCGGAUACCAAUAAGUAAAAGGAAAAGAUUAAAUUAAAACGAUCUCACAAUUUUAGGCGACCCAAAGCAUCCGUUGUCCCUUGACUAGACAAGGGAAAUUAGUUCAUUGUUGCUAAAUAAAGCCCACAAGAAAUUGUAAAGAGAGCCGCGGCCAUUGUCACGGAUAUUUGGAGAAUUCAAUUCGCAAGAACUAAAGGGGAAGAAAAGUCAAAGCUGUCCUCUUUGCUCCUGCCAUGCGUACCAAGACCCAAAGGAAAAGUCACCAGUAAAGCUAUUCCUAUUUGCUCCUGACAUGCGCAGGGAAGUCCUAAUCAAAAGCUUCAAAAGGAAAAUCGCAAGCUAAGCUCCUCAGCAAUCUUCAUACGUAAGAAAGAAACUAGCUAACAAGAACUAAGAAGAAAAGUCAACAACUGUGGCUAAGCUACAAGACGGAAAGCUCUCCAAUGUGCGGCGGCUCCCCUUCCGGAGAGGAAGAAGAAGACCCCCCCUUCAGCCCUUCGUUCCUCCUUUUAAUGCUGCGCUCUGCGAAUUACCAAAAAGGCCUUGUAUCUUCUUGUUCCAAAAAUGCCCUGGAUGCCUGCUACUUGAACUCUUUCCCGAUGACUGUCAAAUUGGCCUUGAUUGUGACAUUUUUAUUCUACUCCCUAAAAUAAAUGCAAAUUAUGAAAAGUGAGUAGAAUCUAAUAAUUAAUUCACAUUGGGUUAAGUAAUAGGGGAAAUUAAUUAUAAAAUAAAUGAUAAAAUUACAACCUAUCAAUUCCCCCCACACCUAAACCAUGCUUGUCCUCAAGCAUGAGAACAAGAAACAAACACCAAUAUUUGAUAGUGGCUAUUGCUCUAUCCAACAAAUUGCCAAGAUACCAAGAAAAAUAAUAUUUAAGCAUCAAUGGUCAAGUCCAAGAAACAUCACUCCGGUUAGCUUCUAAACCAUAAACUCUUCCAAUUUCAUGUUAACUAAUCUAAGAAAAAGGAAUGACGCAUAACAUUUAUCAGCAACUGGUCCAACUAUUAACCAAAAUCUCAACAUUAAAUCCAUAAUUCGGCAAGCUGACUUUUAUUACACACUAACACAACCUUCACUUUUUUCACAUUUUUUUUUCUACUUUUCUCUUUUUUUUUCCUUUUUUUUUUGAUUUUUUUUUCAAUAGUAACAAAUGACUUAGUCGCUAGCCAUUUGAGCCUUUUGACGCGAACUCCAACAUUGGCCAGAUGAAAGAGCCCGGUUACUCAGCUUCUAUCGCCACGUGACCACGUACUCAUAGCAAUUACUACUUUUUGACGCGAGAAUCAACACUUUUAGGUGCAGAUCCCCGGUUACUCAGUAGUAACUAAUAGCGGAGUACAGUCAAAUGUAUUCAUAGCUAAAAAUCAUAAAAACUCAAUAUAACACAAGAACCAAAAGAAAACUUGCAUCAGCUAACCUCAUUUUCAAACAUGGAGAACUAAAGUUAAUAACCGGACCAAUUCACAUGAAAAUGCCAAUAAUCAUUCCCUAUGCCUAGGAAAGUUAACCAAAAAUUAGAAGAGCUAUAUAAUCACUGAUAUUCACCAAAGGAAUGCUCUUGGAUUCAACCACAUUAACUCGAUACAUUUUUAUUAUUAAAACUUGGCAAAAGUAGAAAUAAAGGCAAUAAUCCAACAUCAAACCUUGGCAUGCACUCAAUCACUAAAAAGAAGAAAAAAGAAAAUGAACGAAAGACACUAGCACCAUAAUUGCUCCCCCCACACCUAAAUCCUACAUUGUCCUCAAUGGAGGUAAUAAAGUAAUGAAAGCGAAGAGAACAAUGAAACUUCCCUAUUGAACAGCUAAGGGAUAGGAGGGAACAGUGGAGGGAAGCCGAGUUCUGAGACAUCCUUGCCACUUGGCGUAGAUAAUGCGCACUGGCAACCAAGCAAUAUCAGGGCAGAGCAAUAGCCAUCUAUGUCUCCCAAUUCAUCAGGCAACUUUAGAAAUAACUCAACCAGAAUACCAAAAGAAACCUGAACAAACUUAGCAAUUGAAAGCAAUGGUCAGAAUAUUUCCCAGCAAUUCAAUCAGAUGCACCCAACUGGAAUAAGCAAUGUAAAUGGCAUAGAAACCUCCCAAUUGAACAAACAAGUGCAGGAUUGCAGUGCACCCAAAAUCUCAACAAAUGGCUCCAGUUGGCCAGCUAAAGCCUUAACCCAAAAUCAGCAAUUCCAAUGAAAAUAACAUAGAUAUUGGACAAUAAGAACGCAACCAACCAAAUAGAGGUACCCAAUUGAGGUAUAAGACCCGCAUGCUACAUGAAUGCUGCCAAAUUCUGCGCCAUGCUAUGCACAUUGUUAAUUAGACAUAAUCACUAAGCAAUAAGCAAUGAAAGUGGCACAGUAGCCUUCCAAAUUAACAAACAAAAGCAGAAAUUACUCAACUCACGUCACUCCAAUGGACUCAAGAUAGAAGGCAGGACAAUAGACUCAGGUGAAACCAAAAAUGACCCCAACAAAGUAGCAAAUAAUGACAAAAUGAACUCACCCCUAAAGCCCAAAAGUUGUCACCAAUUGGAAAGUCCAAUACAUAACUCAACUGGGAGCAAAUAUAAGCACAAGGGUUUGGGUUUUCAAGCAAACAGCUGACCAAACACACAGGGAAGAAGCAAUUCAAAUAGGCCGCCCAAAACACUGAUACAUCCAACAGCACAAGCAAUACCAGAAACAGAAGAAACCAAAACGGCAAUCAAUUGUGGCAAAUAACUCCCAAGGCAGCCCCAAACAUGCAAUAGAAACUCCAAGCAAGGCACAGGUAAGGAAAAUCAAGCAAUAUACCACUUGCUAAUAUCCACCCAAAAACACAAGAAAAUGGCAACAACUCCAGCAGUUUAAAAUCCAGAAAAAAAAAAUUUAGAGACAGAGGUGAACAGCACUACCUCCACCCGUCAAUUUGUUUGACAGGUGGUGAUGGUGGACAGCGUCCGUAGUAGUGGCGGCGGUGAGCCGGAGCUUGGGUGAGCUGUGCGACAGAGAAGGAGAAGACCGCAGGGUCUGCGUGCAGCUGCUUGGUGGCGGAUGAGGUGGUGAUGCGGCCGUGAGCAGGGGCGAGGCACGCGAGGGAGCUGCGCUGGUGGAUGGCUCGCCACGCGCGAGAUUGGGCAGCGGAGUUGGCGGCUUGGGCGGCAACAGGGGGAAGAUGAGCUGGUGUGAGGUGGAGUGGCUUGCGGCGCGAUGCUGGUCGCGCGAGGUGGUGGCGAUGGAGCUACGGUAGAGAGAGGGAGGCGCGGCCUCGGGUGAGAGAGCUGGCAGCCGCGAGGAGGGCGGCGGCAAUCGGGGCGUUGGCGUGCGCAGAGGGAAGAAGAAACAGGGGAAGAAGAAAGAAAGAAGAAGAAAAAAAAAGAAAAGAAAAGAAAGAAAAGAAAGAAAAAAAGAGAAAGAAAAGAAAAAAGAAAUUUUUUUUUUCUCUUGUUACGGUUAAGAGGAAAGAUUUUUCUUCUUCUCUUUUUUUUUAUUUAUUAUUUUUUAUUUGAUUUGUUAUCAUUUCAUUUAUUCAAAAAAAAAUUCUUUUUUUUUCUUCUUUUUUUAUUUUAUUUUUUUGAAUUCUUACCUUUUCCACGAACGUGACACGGGCGCGUCAAGAGAACAAGAGAGCUCCCAGAAGUUCAGGUCGUGAGCUUUUUGCACGUCACCACGCGGGCGCGUCAUGAGGGCAAGAGAGCUCCCAGAAGUUUGAAGUUUCUGAUCGUGAGCUUCCUGCUCGUCACCACGCGGGCGCGUCGUGACUGAAUGGCACCUAUAAAGCAGCAAAAACGAAAACUAACACCCAAAAAUCAGUCAAAUUCAAGGAAAACAGAUUUAAACUAUGACGUGAAACCAACAAACAACUAAAAGAAACAAUUGGGUUGCCUCCCAAUGAGCGCCUUUCUUUAAUGUCUUUGGCUAGACAUUAUCAUGUUUUGUUCAUGGAGGAUAAAAUCGUGUGGCUCGUCUUAAUGCUUCAUCCUCUAUAUAGUCCUGAUAACCCUCGUAAAUAGAAUAAUCCUUGAGCAUACGAGUUACGGGCUUCCAUGGACUAGUGAAUGGCGCCAAACGAGUCGAUGAUAAUUUGCAUUCUCCAUUCACUCCUCCCUCACUUGCAUUUAUUGGUUCAAGAUAUCUUGCCAUCGCCACUCUUAAUUUAUUCCUGUCAUGAAAUUCAAAAUUGUCUGGUAUAAUAAAGUCAAUUUCGUUAACAGGAAUUGAAGAGUAAGAGUCAGGAGAAUAUUGAUGAAAGAGUGGAGGAGAUGUCACCGCAUUUGGAAAUUGUUCACUGGAUUCUUUCACGUGAAUGGGUUGCGGUUGGGGUUCCAUUUCUUCCUUUUUGGCUUUUUCUUCAACUGCAUCUGUAGAUUCCUCAUUUUGACACUCUUGCAUCUCCUCGUCACUAUUCAAGCAAAUUGCACUCUCAUUUUCUUCUAGAUCAACAAUGGUUUCGAGGGCAAUUCUUCCAUUUGAGAAGCCCAUCGAUUUAUUCUGGAUGUCAAUAGACAUAGUUGACCUGCCAGAUAAUUUAAUGCAUCCUUCAUCAUCUCAUUCUCCAUUAGUGUCUCCUGUUGGAAUUUGUAUGUGUUAGUAGCUAUUGGUUCAACUAUUUCUUCAAGAGACAUACCUGACAUAGAUGCCGAUUCUUGAGACUCAUACUGCUGAAAAUUCAUUGGCCCCGUUGGAUAAUUAUAAUUGGAGUUAUCCCACCCUCCUUGAUCAUACCCAUAUGGAUUAGGGUUAUACCCCGUUUGAGACCAGGGUGAAAAAUCUCCAUAAUUAUUGAGUGGGACAUUCAGAUUAUCUUGAUAUUCGGGGCACAUACUGGUUGAAUGAUCCCUGGCAUAACAAAUUUUACAUGUUGCAGCAGCCAUUCUUUUUCUAAUAGAGUUUACUGCCUCUGCAUAUGCCAACUCAAGAAAAAAACAAAUCUCAUCGCCUUGCCCGGAAAUAAAAUCCAAUACAUCACCAAAAUACGGAGUGUUAGAAGCCAUAAACUAUAUAAAAAAAAUAAGAGAAAAAAAAUAAAUAAAAAAUGAAAACAAAAUGAACUCAAAAGGAAACAAAUUAAUCUGACACCAGUCCCCGGCAGCGGCGCCAAAAAUUGACAGGUUGUCGAAACCUGUGCAAUAAUAAAACCUGCUCAAACUAAAAGUGAUUUUUGUAGAUAGCGGUGAGCAGGGUCGAAUCCACAGGGACUGGGAGUAAUUAUUUCUUUUCAAGUUCACAGUGACAAGGGGGGUGUUUUUGUGCAGAAGGUGACAAUCAAAGAAAUUCAACUAAAAUCUAAGAAACUACUAAAAAUUAAAUAACAAAUUACUAAAAUCUAAUGAGUGAUAAUUAAGGAUCUAGCCAAUGAAUAACUUCAGCAAUGGUUCAUCUAAUUGAUCAUUGAAGCAAAGGCAAUUCCAAUUAUUCAUCAAUAAAUAGGUUAUAACUACCAAACAAGCGAUGGCAGUCAACCCCUCCUUACUGUGUCGGUGAUCAAGGUACGCCCAUUAAUCACUGCUCUAAUUGAGAAAUAAUCCUAAGUACGCCCGUAGAAUUUAAUUCUCCAAUUGCCUUACGUAUUAGAGGAGCCCUAUUCUAACCAAAUAACGCACUACCAGGGUUAUUUUAGAUUAGCCCGCGUAUUCCCCUGACACAAACCUAAUCAUGCCAGUUGUCACUGUUUUAGAGCAAUUAAACAAUUACGGAUUUAAUGCCCUAAUUGACAAUAGAUUACCCAAUCAACUAAUUAUCUGGAUCCAAGACAAUCAAUUAAUUAAAUAACCAUAAGUAUAGCAAUCAAGAAAUAUGCGGAUACCAAUAAGUAAAAGGAAAAGAUUAAAUUAAAACGAUCUCACAAUUUUAGGCGACCCAAAGCAUCCGUUGUCCCUUGACUAGACAAGGGAAAUUAGUUCAUUGUUGCUAAACAAAGCCCACAAGAAAUUGUAAAGAGAGCCGCGGCCAUUGUCACGGAUAUUUGGAGAAUUCAAUUCGCAAGAACUAAAGGGGAAGAAAAGUCAAAGCUGUCCUCUUUGCUCCUGCCAUGCGUACCAAGACCCAAAGGAAAAGUCACCAGUAAAGCUAUUCCUAUUUGCUCCUGACAUGCGCAGGGAAGUCCUAAUCAAAAGCUUCAAAAGGAAAAUCGCAAGCUAAGCUCCUCAGCAAUCUUCAUACGUAAGAAAGAAACUAGCUAACAAGAACUAAGAAGAAAAGUCAACAACUGCGGCUAAGCUACAAGACGGAAAGCUCUCCAAUGUGCGGCGGCUCCCCUUCCGGAGAGGAAGAAGAAGACCCCCCCUUCAGCCCUUCGUUCCUCCUUUUAAUGCUGCGCUCUGCGAAUUACCAAAAAGGCCUUGUAUCUCCUUGUUCCAAAAAUGCCCUGAAUGCCUGCUACUUGAACUCUUUCCCGAUGACUGUCAAAUUGGCCUUGAUUGUGACAUUUUUAUUCUACUCCCUGAAAUAAAUGCAAAUUACGAAAAGUGAGUAGAAUCUAAUAAUUAAUUCACAUUGGGUUAAGUAAUAGGGGAAAUUAAUUAUAAAAUAAAUGAUAAAAUUACAACCUAUCAAAUAUUAUUCUUAACAAUCCAAAAAAAAAAAGGCAAGAUUACUCUGGCACUAGUUACCAGCAAUGUCGUUGAUGAGAAUAAUAGAGACUCAAUGAGACUGUGCUUCUUUUGUUUGAGAGUCUUUGAAGAUGAUACAGCUAAGACUUAACGUAAGAAUAAAAAGGACAAGAAGAAUAAAGCCAUGUUUAUUUAUCUCAUUCUUGCUCAUAAGGGCUGAUUUAUUCCUAAAGUGGUGCUUCAGCUCUCACCGUGAUACUAAUUUCCGGAAGUGAAGAAAGAAUAAAUCAUUUCAACUUUCUUUCUACAAAUUCCAAACCAUGGGGAACAAGGAAGGUAGAAAAAGAGCAUUACUUCCGAUGGAAUCAACCUGAUCCGCACCAAGGUCUUCCUUCCUAUAUAAUAAAUCCUUCUCAGGCACCAAAAAAUAUAUGAAGUUAAAACCAUUCUUCUACUUAUAACCAUAUAAAAAGAAGCUAAAACCUUGCCUCCUCCUUCUUCUUGAAAACAAAAACAAAAAACUAUAAAAUGGCAGAAACUGUUGUCUCUUUUGUUUCAGAUCAUCUCGCAACCUUACUCCGAGAGGAGGGAAGCCUAUUAGGAGGGCUUCGACAAGAGGUCGAACUCAUCAAGGAUGAGUUGGGGCAUAUGAGAGCUUUCCUCAAAGUGGCUGAAGCAAAAGAAGAUGAUGAUCCCAGGUAUGGGUGGCAAACCAACUAUUUAACUAAAUUUACUCAUAUUCGCAUAUGAAUAGAUGGGUAUGGUAUUUUAAAUUUUUUUAUAUGAGUAUAAAUGGGUUACCUUAUAAUAUCCAUUUAUUAAAUGAAUAUUAUUGGGUAACCAAUCAAACCCAAUUAACCCAUUUAAAAUUCUCUUCGCCCAAGUCUCUCCUCUUCCCCCAAGUCUUUUCUCUUCCCCCACCCAUUUUUUUUUUCAAAUUUUUUAUUUUGUCAUGAUAUUAACUACUUUUGUUUCAUUAUUAUUAUUAUUUGUUGGUUUAUCUUAUUAUUUUAUUUUCUCUUAGUUUAGUUUGUUAACUUACUCAUUUUUCGGCAUUACCAAUUUAUGAUAAGUUUUAGUCUCUUUUCUUAUAUUUCUAAAAUGAAAUUUUAAAUUUAUAUAUGAAAAAAAUGUUACGGGUUCAAAAUUUUUGGAUUAAGUUUUUAUAUUAAUUUUUAUAGUACUUAGUUCAAAUUUUUAUAUUCUUAUUACUCAAUUAUUAAAUAAUAUGUAAUUUUGCGACAUAGAGUAUCAAUGGAAAAAAAUUGGGAAUUAGACUUAUUGAACAUUAUAAGUAAAUAUUUAAAACUAAUGAUGGGUACAAAGAGCGAUAUAAAUUGAUAACUUUAGUUUGCAAAAAAGAAUUUAAAUGAGUUUAUAAAAAGUUAAAAUAAAUGGGUUAUAAAUGGGUAAUUGGGUUACCCAAUUCAGUUUUUGACAAUCCAUUUAUACUCAUCUAAUUAAAUGGAUAUAAAUGGAUUGACUCACUUAUAUCAUUACCCAUUUUACCCAACCCAAACCCGCCCAAGUCACCCAUUUUGAUACUUCUAAUCCCAGGCUCCAAGAAUGGAUCAAGCGAGUGCGCGAAGCUGCUUAUGACAUUGAAGAUGUUCUCGAUGAAUUUGUACUUCGCUUUGCUGGCUACCGACAUCAUGGAUUCUGUGGCUCUCUUCAGAGAAUUCUCAAAGCCAUUAAGAGCUUGCGAGCUCGUCAUCAGGUUGCCAGUGAAAUUCAAAGCAUAAAGUCCAGGAUCAAAAAUAUUUCAGAAUUACGUCGGAGAUACCAAGAUGAAUUUGGCAUCGACCACCGUGUCACUGGAUCUUCAACCAUGAACGACUCACGGCGCUAUAGCAGGGAUGAUGCACUUCUAGUGAAGGAAGCAAAAUUGGUUGGCAUUGACCAGCCCAAACAACAUCUGAUUUCUAAGCUUCUCGAGGUGCACGAUCACCAACUCAAAGUUAUUUCAGUGGUUGGUAUGGCUGGACUAGGGAAAACUACCCUAGUCAAAAAAGUCUAUGAAGAUCCAGAAGUUAGAAAGAAUUUCCCAGUUCGUGCCUGGGUAACCGUCUCUCAAACAUGCGACUUCCCAAAGCUCCUGAGAGACUUGAUUCGGCAGUUGAACAAGGACUUCGACAAAUCAGUCCCACAAUCGAUCGAGUCCAUGACUACCGCUGAGCUGAAAGAAUUUGUCAAAGAUUUUCUUCGACGAGCUGGAAGGUAUGCAAUUGUGUUUGAUGACGUGUGGGACGUGGAAUUUUGGAAUGAAAUCAAAUUUGCACUACCUGAGGGUAACUACGGCAAUCGUGUCAUGCUGACAACACGAAAUGCCGAUGUAGCCCCUGCCUCUUGCACAGAAUCUCAGGAUUAUGUCUACAAAAUGGAGCCACUAUCAAUUGAAGAUUCGUGGACCCUAUUUUGCAACAAGAUCUUUAAAGGAAAUCGUUGCCCCGCCCACCUGAUGGAUGUUGCGAAAGCUGUAUUGGACAAAUGUGACGGUUUGCCUUUGGCGAUUGUUGCGAUCGGUGGGCUCUUGGCUUCGAAGGAUGCGAGCAGAAUAGAUGAAUGGGAGAUGAUUCAACACAGUCUUGGGGGUGAAUUAGAAGGAACAAGUAAGCUAGAGAGAGUUAAAAUGAUACUCUCUCUUAGUUAUAGUGAUUUGCCUUGGUAUCUAAAGACAUGUCUGUUGUAUUUAAGCAUUUAUCCAGAGGAUUAUCUAAUACAAUGCCAGAGGCUGAUUCUAUUAUGGAUUGCUGAAAGAUUUGUAGAAUGGAGAGAAGGAAUGAGUAUUGAAGAUGUGGCCCGGGGUCAUCUCGGUGAACUCAUCAGCAGAAGCCUAAUUCAAGUAACUGAAGUGUUUUAUGAAGGAUUGCCCAACAAUUGUCGAAUCCAUGACUUAAUGAGGGAAGUUAUUCUCAUCAAGUCAAGGGAACAAAACAUGGUGACAGUUACUACUGGACAACCAAUGACGUGGCCAUCUGAGAAGGUACGCCGUCUAGCAAUCCAUAGUAGUAGUAACAGUAGCAACAUCCAAUACCACCAACAAUGACAAUUUUAUUCCUUUGAACACCUUCGAUCAUUCAUCACAGUUAGUUCCACCAACCCAUUACUAUCCAAAACUUUCCUAUCUGAAGUUCUAAGGAGCAGCAAGCUGCUAAAGGUUUUGGAUUUGACUGAUGAAGAGAUAGAGGAAACACCAAAUGAGAUUUUCAACUUGUUGCAUCUCACAUACCUGAGCCUAUAUGGUACAAAAGUGGAAAGAGUCCCGAGAGCCAUUGGAAAGCUUCAACAUUUGGAAUAUCUGAAUUUGGGGAACACUGGAGUUAGGGAAUUACCCGUGGAAAUCCUAAAGCUGCUAAAGCUUCGGUAUCUCAUAGUAUUCAAAGCAGUUGAUCCCUCAGAUGAAGAUUUUGGAUUUCAUGGGUUUAAAGGUCCGUCAAAAUUGGGAGGGCUUCUCGCUCUACAAAGGUUAGAAACCAUAGAUGCAAGUAGUGGGUCUGUAAUAGUUAAAGAGAUAGGAAAAUUGACCCAAUUAAGAGUGUUAUAUAUUACACAGUUAAGAAGUGACAGGUGCCGAACCUGUACAAUAAUAAAAACCUACUCGAGAAAAAUACAGAUUUUGUAUAUAGCGGUGAGUAGGGUCGAAUCCACAGGGACUGGGGAUAAUUCGUUUCUUCUAGAGUUCAAGAUAUGGGGGGUUUUGGAUUAAAUGCUAACUAAAUAAAUUAACUGCAGAAAAUAAUUAAGUAAAAGAAAUAAUUAAGAUAGCUCUAGCCAAGGGUAUACUUCAGAAAUGGUUCAGGCACUGAUCAUUGAUUCGCAGAUAAUUCCAACAUUUAGUAAUAGAUUAGUUAUAGUUGUCAUGCACGCGAUAAACAACCAACCCUUCCUUAAUUUCUCGAUAGCUAUGGUACGACCGUUAGCUAUUUCUCUAACCCAAAAAUAACCCCAGGUACGACCGUGGAAUUUAAUUUCUAGAUUGCAUUAAUAAUUAGAAAGGCCCAAUCCUAACCAACAAACACGCUACGAGGGUUUGUUUAAGCUAGAUCAUAUGCUCCCCUGACAUAAACCCAAUUACGCCAGUUGCUACUGAGGUAGAGAUAACGAACAAUUACGGAUUCAAUUACCCCUAUUUAGCAAAAUAGCCCAUAUGAAUAAUUAAUUAUUACGCACUAAUCAAUCAUACACAAGAGCUAUAACAGUUAAAAGCAGGAAACAUAUGAACACCAAUAAAUGGAGGAAACAAUUAAAAUAAAUUCGAUCUCACAGUAAUUGUUGAACCAAAUCUUCAGUUGUCCCCUUGACUAGAAUUGAGAGGUUAGUCCUCCAUUAAUGGAGAACAACCAUGCGAAAAAGCUAAGAAGAGAAAACUAAAAACUAUGCUAAAAGCUGUCUUAAACUAUUCAUAAAGGCUCUCGAUAAGAGCUCUCCCCGAAAGACCAAAGUUCCCUCCUCUAAACAAAUGACUACCUCUCUCCCUUUUUGGUCUCUCAGAUGAUAAGGAAAAGAUAAGAUAAAAAGUCAAGUGCUACCUAAUGUCCUGUUUUCUCGUUUCCUAUUGCUAGUCAAUUAGCUAGUACAAUGCACUCCUCAUCAGCACAAAGAAAAGGAAAUCGUUUUCUUCUUCUCCUUGUGGGCCAGCAACCGAAAAAGGCUUCCUUGUAGCACCAUAUGGGGCCCAACUGUUUGAAGUCUCAAUUGUAUAGUGGAAAAUCCCUCAUUUUUUGUAGUUUUCUGUUUCACUUCCUGAAAUUGAGUCCAAUACCAAAUAUAAGUAAAUAUUAAUAAUUAAAACAAUAUUUGGCAAGGAUAAAGGGGAAAAUUAACAAUAAAAUAACCAACAAUUAACACCCUAUCAAUUCCCCCCACACCUGAAUCAUGCUUGCCCUCAAGCAUGAGAACAACAAUUGAACACCAAAAUUUAAUAAUGGCUAUUGCUCCAACUACCGUAUUGCCAAGGUACCCAGAAGAACAUAUAUCAAGCAUCACAGGUUAAAAUCAAAGAAAAACCACCCGGUUAGCUUCCCAAUCACCAACUCCUCCAAUUUAAAGCAAACUAAUCUAAGGAAAAGGAAUGGUUGCUCACAUCUAUCAGUAAAUGGUCCAACUAUUAAUCAAAAUCUCGACAUUAAGAUCACAAACCGGCAAGCUGACUUGUUCAAAUACUAACACAAUCUUUAUUUUAUUUUUUUCUUUUUUUUUGUUUUUUGUUUUGUUUUGUUUUUUUUUUUUAGUAGCAAAAGACUUAGUCUAUAGCCCUUAGAGCCUUUUGACGCGAACUCCAACAUUUGAUAGAUGGAGGAGCCCGGUUACUCAGCUCCAAUCGCUACAGGACCACGCACUCAUAGUAACUACUACCUUUUGACGUGAGAAUCGACACUUUAGGUGAAGAUCCCCGGUUACUCAGUAGUAACCACUAGCGGAGUACAGUCAACUCUUAUUCACAAUCAUAUAGCACAAUAACUAAAAAUAACACAAAAAUAACAGCAACCGGUCUCAAAUUUCCAAACAUGGAGAACUAAAAUUAAUAACUGGACCAAUUCACAUGAAAAAUGCCAACAAUCAUUCCCUAUGCCUAGAAAAGUUAACCAAAAAUUGAAAAAGUUAAGCCAUUACUGAUAUUCACCAGAGAGAUGUUCUUGAACUCAACCACAUCAACUUGAUACCUUUUUAUUAAUAAACUUGGCAAUAACAGAAUUAGAGACAACAAUCCAGCAUCAAAACUUGGUAUUCAUAUGAAGACUGACCACUAGAAGAAAAGAAGAAAAGAAAAUAAACGAAAAAAAGAUAAAUAUCAAACUAAAAAUAAAGGAAAAGCCCUUAGAAACUUAAAAUAAAAAUACUAGCACCACAACGAUCCCCCCCACACCUAAUUCACACAUUGCCCUCAAUGUGAUAAAUAAAUAGUAAUAGCAAGGCGAAAGGCAACGGAACUUCCCUGAAAGUCGUCAAAAUAGGGGCGGAUCGGGCAGGAACUGAGGAGCAGGACCUGCAUGGUGCAUAGAUGCUGCCAAAUUCUGCGCCAUGUGAGGUUCUAGGUGUCCUAGACCUAGAAGAUGACCAUGGCCUCACCAUUGGUUCUAAAGAUCACUCCACUUGACAAGAGACAACAAUGGCCAACAAAUAAUAGAAACAGGAAAUUCAAAGCAAUAAGAAUUGAAAAGCCAACCCAACGAAUAAAAUGCACAAUUCAACCACCCAGAGGUCAUACAAAUACCCCAACACUUAUAGCAAAUGCAAUCAAUAAGUACUUAUGGACCCCAUGUAGUCAAAUUCAGAAUUAAGGUCGUCCAAAGUGCAACAACUGCUCCAAAUACCCCAAGUAAGUCAAUUAAAGGCAACCGACUUCAACAAGCAAAUGCAAACUGCACAUUCAUGCCCCAAUUCAACAAAUAAACGCAGAAAAGUGGCCACAAUACUAGAGCACAGCUCCCAAUAAUGCAACAGAACAGCAACUCGAACAAACUAGGAACUGUGCUAGUGUCUUAAUAAAUCAACAACUUUCAGCAAUUAGACACAAUCGGACCCAAUAUCGUAACAACUGUCUCCAAUUGGACAGUCAAUUACCCACUUCAACCUGCUAAAAUUAGCAAUUGACCCAAGAAAAUGGCAACUCCAGCAACAACAGUUCAGAAGUUGGACAGAAACAACUCAACCACAAAUGCCCAGUAGUCGAUUAGGCAACCAAUAACACAGGAGUAACAAAUAUUAUGUAAACUACCCUCACCAGUACCACUGGUGCAUGCAUAAGGAAAAUUGAAAUCAAAUGGCCAACCCAAGACAUGUGAUAACGCCAAACACACCACUCAGUACCACUGAAUGGCAGAGAGUAACACGGGACCCAAUUGACAAGUAACUCCCAAAUUACCCCCAACAAUUUCCAAACAAAUAAACUGGCACAAAAGUCAUCCAAUUUUAUCCCCCAGAUGCAAUAGAAAUCUCAAAUAGUCAAAGCCCAAAUAAUAUUCAACAAUAUAAUCAAUACCAGAGAGCACCCCCAAAUGGGGUAGCAAAUAAAUUGAAUUCCACCCAAAAUCUCAACAACUGUCUCCAAUUGGACAGUCAAUUGCACAACUCAACCAACCAAAUGAAUUGGGAUAGUAACUAUGGCCAUUAAAUCAACAAUCAAUGCACUAAGUAUUAUAGUUGUUGGAUUGAACAAAUAAAUGCACAACUCUGCCAACUACAAUUCAGUAGAGGCCUGAAUACCUUAGCUACUUAAAUCAACGGUCAUAGGGCAUCAAGAAUUCAGCAAAAUAAUUUAGCAGGGCCCGAAAACCAAAAUUCAACAUAGAACCCAAAGUCUGUGCCCAAUUCAAUCUAGAAAUCUAUUCCAGAAAUAGGACUCCAAAUAUAAGUAAUGUACCUUAGAAAGUUGGCCAAUAAUUUGGGAAAAACAAGUACCUCCGCCUCAUACCAGAGACACCAAGCAGAUGGCCAUGGGUGGUGGAGCAGUGGAGCAGCGGAGGAGCUGUUGGCCGUGAGCUGGUGACGAGGUGGAGAGAGAGCAGAGGGAGGUGGCGCGCGGUGGUGGCCGCGGCUGUGGAGCGUGGGCAGGCGGUGGUCAAAGGCGCUGGUGAGUGGAGGUGGCGGGGAUGAAGCUUGGAACGGAGGCGGCGGCGAUGGCAGCUGGUCAGCGGCGUGCAGCAAGUGGGUAGCCGGUGGUGGAUGGCGGCUAGUCAGCAGCUGAGCGCACAAAAGGACAGGAAACUUGGAGCUUGGAGGUGGUCGAGAGGGUGGCAAGCUGGUGGUGCUCGCGUGGUGGUGGCGGAGACGCGCGGAGUGAGCUCGCCGCUGUGUGGGCUGUCGUGCUCGGUGGUGUGCGGAGGAUGGAGGGCAGCCGAAAGAAGAAAUAAAAGAAAAGGAAAGCAGGGCAGCGGGGAAGAAGAGAAGGAAAGAAGAGAAGGAAAGAAGAGAAGGAAAGAAAGAAAGAAAGAAAGAAAAAGAAAAGAGAAAAAAAGAAAAAGAGAGAAAAAGAAAAGAGAAAAAAAAAUAGUUUUGUUUUGUUUUGUUUUUUUUUUUGGAAUCUUAAUUUUUUUCUUUUUGGGGUUUUUUUUUCUCAAUGUUUUUUUUUUCAAAUUUUUUCCUGAAAUUUGAAAUUCCAAAAUUUGAAUUUUUGAAGAGAAAGAAAAAUGCCUUUUGAAUUUUUGAAUUUUCUCAAUGUGAAAUUUUGAAACUUUUUUUUUUUUUUCAUGUUUUGGGUCGUCAAACACCGCGUGGGCAUGCCAAGAUUACAAAACAUCCACUGACCUCAGGAGACCCAAACACCGCGUGGGCACGCCAAGAUUGGUGUUCGUCCUCUGAUCUCAGGAGACCUAAACACCGCGUGGGCACGCCAAAAUUUCACUUCCUGAUCACAGUGGAGAAAAAUAUCAAGACCAACUACUAUCCAAAUGAGAAACAACAGAACGAAAGAAUUGAACAACUAAUAAUAAAACCAAUAUUUGGGUUGCCUCCCAAAAAGCGCCUUUCUUUAAUGUCUUUGGCUAGACACUGUUAUGUCUUGUUCAUGGAGGAUAAAAUCUUGUGGCUCGCUUCAAUGCUUUAUCUUCAAUAUGAUCCUGGUAACCCUCAUAGAUGGAGUAAUCUUUGAGCACACGAGCUACGGGCUUCCAUGGACUAAUAAAUGGUGCUAAACAAGUCAACGAUAAUUUGCAUUCUCCAUUCACUCCUCCAUCACAUGCAUUCUUCGGUGCAAGAUAUUUUUUCAUUGCCACUCUUAACUUAUUCUUGUCAUGAAAUUUCAAAUUUUCUGGUAUAAUAAAAUCAAUUUCAAUAACAGGAAUUGAAGAAUAGGAGUCAGGAAAAUAUUGAUUAAGGAGUGGAGAAGAUAUCACCGCAUUUGGAGAUUGUUCACUGGAUUCAUUCACUUGAAUGGGUUGCGGUUGGGGUUCCAUUUCUUCAUUUUUGGCUUCUUUUUCAACUGCAUCUGCAGAUUUCUCAUUUUGACACUCUUGCAUCUCCUCAUCACUAGUCAAGCAAAUUGCACUCUCGUAUUCUUCUAGAUCAACAACGGUUUCCGAGGGCAAUUCUUCAAUUUGAGAAGCCAAUCGACUUAUUCUGGAUGUCAAUAGACACAUUUGAUCUUCCAGAUUACUCAUUGCAUCCUUCAUCAUCUCAUUCCUCAUUUGUGUCUCCUGUUGGAAUUGGUAUGUAUUAGUAGCUAAUGAUUCAACUAUUUCUUCAAGAGACAUACCUGACAUAGAUGAUGAUUCUUGAGACUCAUACUGCUGAAAAUUCAUUGGCCCUGUUGUAUAAUUAUAACUGGAGUUAUCCCACCAUCCUUGAUCAUAGCCGUUUGGAUUAGGGUUAUACCACGUUUGAUAGGGUGAAAAUCCCAAUAAUUAUUGAGUCAACACUAGAUCUAUCUUGAUAUUCGGGCAGGUCCCUUGGGAAUAACUUGAGCAAAAUAAUUCCACAAAUUUGCAACAGCCAUGCAUCAUAGAAAACAUGAGUCUCAGUAACCCAUUCAGAACAAAGUUCAGUAUAUCAUCAAAAUAUGGAAUGUUAGCAGCCCCAAAAAAAAAAUAAAAAUAAAAAUAAUAAAAAAAAUAAGAGAGAAAAAUAAAAUAAUAAAAAUAAAUAAAAUGAAAAACAAAUAAACUCAAAAAAAAAUAAAUUAAUCUGACACCAGGCCCCGCAACCGGCGCCAAAAAUUGACAGGCCGACCUGUUACAAUAAUAAAAACCUACUCGAGAAAAAUACAGAUUUUGUAUUAUAGCGGUGAGUAGGGUCGAAUCCACAGGAUUGGGAUAAUUCGUUCUUUAGAAGCUUCAAGAGUAUGGGGGGGUUUUGGAUUAAAUGCUAACUAAAUAAAUUAACUGCAGAAAAUAAUUAAGUAAAAGAAAAUAAUUAGGAUAGCUCUAGCCAAAGGUAUACUUCAGAAAUGGUUCAGGCACUGAUCAUUGAUUCGCAGAUAAUUCCAACAUUUAGUAAUAGAUUAGUUAUAGUUGUCAUGCACGCGAUAAACAACCAACCCUUUCCUUAAUUUCUCGAUAGCUAAGUACGACCGUUAGCUAUUUCUCUAAACCAAAAAUAACCCCAGGUACGACCGUGGAAUUUAAUUUCUAGAUUGCAUUAAUAAUUAGAAAGGCCCAAUUCUAACUAACAAACACGCUACGAGGGUUUGUUUAAGUUAGAUCGUAUGCUCCCCUGACAUAAACCCAAUUACGCCAGUCGCUACUAAGAUAGAGAUAACGAAUAAUUACGGAUUCAAUUACCUCUAUUUAGCAAAAUAGCCUAUAUGAAUAAUUAAUUAUUGCGCACUAAUCAAUCAUACACAAGAGCUAUAACAGUUAAAAGCAGGAAACAUAUGAAUACCAAUAAAUGGAGGAAACAAUUAAAAUAAAUUCGAUCUCACAGUAAUUGUUGAACCAAGUCUUCAGUUGUCCCCUUGACUAGAAUCAAGAGGUUAGUCCUCCAUUAAUGGAGAACAACCAUGCGAAAGAGCUAAGAAAAGAAAACUAAAACUAUCCUAAAAACUGUCUCAAACUAUUCAUAAAGGCUCUCGAUAAGAGCUCUCCCCGAAAGACCAAAGUUCCCUCUUCUAAACAAAUGACUACCUCUCUCCCUUGUUGGUCUCUCGGAUGAUAAGGAAAAGAUAAGACAAAAAGUCAAGUGCUACCUAAUGUCCUGUUUUCUCGUUUCCUAUUGCUAGUCAAUUAGCUAGUACAAUGCACUCCUCAUCAGCACAAAGAAAAGGAAAUCGUUUUCUUCUUCUCCUUGUGGGCCAGCAACCGAAAAAGGCUUCCUUGUAGCACCAUAUGGGGCCCAACUGUUUGAAGUCUCAAUUGUAUAGUGGAAAAUCCCUCAUUUUUUGUAGUUUUCUGUUUCACUUCCUGAAAUUGAGUCCAAUACCAAAUAUAAGUAAAUAUUAAUAAUUAAAACAAUAUUUGGCAAGGAUAAAGGGGAAAAUUAACAAUAAAAUAACCAACAAUUAACACCCUAUCAAGAAGAGAAGAUGGAAAGGAGCUCUGCUCCUCCCUUGUCAACCUCACCAGCCUUCGGGAAUUAAGUGUUGCUUCAGUUGGAAAAGGUGAUGAUUAUGGGAUAAUUGAUCUAAAUCAUCAUCAACAUUCUCUUUCUUCUUCUUCUUCUUGUUCGUUUCUUCGAUCUCUUCGUAUGCUAAUUAUGCGUGGCCGCUUAGAAACGAUGCCAGUAUGGAUAACUCAUCUUCAAAACUUGGUAAAAAUAAUUAUGAACUGGAGCGGGUUAAGGGCUGAGGAGGAUCCACUUGAAUCCCUCCAACAUUUGCCCAAUUUGGAUGAAAUUAGUUUCUGUGGAUCUUACCAGGGAGAAAGGUUGUGUUUCAAGGCUGGAGGGUUCCUAAAGCUGAAACGGUUGUGGUUAAGGAGAAUGGAAGGGUUGAGAUGGAUGACAGUGGAGGAGGGUGUGUGCCCAAAUCUCCGAAGACUAUUUCUGGAGCAACUUCCAUUACUAGAGGACUUACCCUCGGGAAUUCAGCACUUGACCCAUCUUCAAGAGCUGGGUUUGUAUAAGUUGAGUUCUCGACUGAUGGAAAAGGUCGAGAAUCAGGAGGAAGACAGUGAAGAUUACAGAAGAAUGGCACACAUUCCUGAAAUUGUCAUUGGUUUUUAUACAGAUGAUGGUGGAUGGAGUAUCCGCCGGCUAUGGGGGAAGCAGAAGGAAACAAUUCUUGCCUAGCACUAGCAGCAUCCCGUGGCUUUCCUUUCUCUUCUUCUUCUAUUUUUCUGAGAAGUUUCUGAAGUUUUCUAUCUUCUCCAUUGCGUGUAGUAUGGUGCAUUGCAUCAUCAUCUUGUUCAUAUCCUGCAUUUUGUUAAUGUAUUUUGUUAACUGUUUUUCUUUAAUUUUAACUUCAGCAAAUGAAGCAUUCUUACCUACCUCCCCAAAUGAAUCAAUUUGUCCAUAAGUCUAUAUAAAGAUUGCAAUGCAUAUAGCAUAGUGCCAAAUUUGAGAAUGACGAUCUUCUUUUCACUCUUCAAUUUUAGAUAACAAAAGGGUCUUAUCCCAAUCUGUUAAGCAAUAUGCUUCCACGUACGUACGUAUAGCUGUAAAUUACAAUUCGAUUAUAUUACUUCAUCCACACCCAUCCAUUUAUAAGUGAAUUUGCAUGCGCAAUGAAUUUUAAAUAGGUUUAUAGGUUUAGAUGGGUGAGUCGAUCAAACAAUAAAGUCCAAUUCAUGGCAUAUACAUCAAACAUAAUCAUAUUUCAGAACAGAACAGACACUAUUUUUAAACAGAGCAGAAGAAAAGAGCGGACUAAAGAUCAGAUAGACAAGGGUGGAGUAGAUCAGAUAUGAGUAGUAAACAAUUCAUAAACAUAAUGGUUUAAAGAUAUCAAAACAUAAAUGCAGUUAGUUCAACAGUAUUUUGACUUCACCUCAACAUGACAAAGAAACAUCGCACAUAAAUGAAUAUGUCCUCUAUUCUCUAACUUCUUCUUACAGGAAGUUUUUCUAUCAAAAAAUCUAUACAUUUUUUCUGAGCAUAUUCCCCAAUCACCUUUUUAUUUUAUAUAUAUCAAAUCGUUACAAUAUAUUUUUUUUUUACAAAAACUGCAUAUAUUUUCUUUUCAUAUGAUUAUGUUGGAUGUAUAUGCCAUCAAUUGCACUCAUUUAGUUCCCGUCACAAGCAAAACUGGUAACAUCUAAAUUAACCAAAUUUUAUUUCUAUGAAUAUGUGGACUAUAGAUAAAAUAAUAAUGCACGGCAAGUGCCUUAAUCCUUGCUAUUUUAUUUGUCAAAUCAUCAUUUAUUUCCCCUAGACUCAUAAAGUCCAAUAUUAAACCGAUGACUUAUAUAUUGCUGGAAUCGCACAUAAUAUUUUGUGAAUGAUACUCCUUAGUAGGGCUGCAAACGAGUCGAGUCGAGUCGAGUCGAGUUUUGCUCUAAUCGAGUCGAGCCUUGAUUUAAUUUUGUCGAACUUGAACUCGAGCUCGAUAAGCUGACAAUUUUGAAGCUCGAGCUCGAAAAAAUAAAAAUAAUUAUUUUAUUUUUAAAAAAAUAAAUAAAAUAAUAUUUUUUCUUAAUAAAUAAUAAAAUAUUAAGGAUAUUUAUGUAAUUUUACUAUUAAAAUAAAAAAAUAAAAAUAUAUAUAUACUUGAGCUUGCGAGCCGGCUCAAUAUUUUGAAUUCGAGUUCGAGUUUGACUUUGACUCGACUAGCUCGAGCUCGAGUCGAGCUUGAAUGAGCUGCUCGUGAGUUUCAGUUGCACCCCUACUCCUUAGUGAUUUGUGCAAUGAUAUCUAAUUCGGGUUGGUUAUCACGAAACCGAUAGCCAAUAUGAGUAUGUAAUUCUCCCGUAGGAACUUCACCAACAAAUUUUCUUAACCCUUCAAAAAAAAAAA